This 69627-nucleotide long non-coding RNA is filed under the name Ananas comosus (pineapple). Its description in RNAcentral is "long non-coding RNA (ACOM_LNC008460)". Lineage: Eukaryota; Viridiplantae; Streptophyta; Magnoliopsida; Poales; Bromeliaceae. The record is from RNAcentral.
UAGAAGAAAAUGAAAUGAACUGUUGUAGGUUGUCUAUAUAUAUAUAUAUAUAGGCUAAGGCUACUAUACUCUUAUGAGGAUAGAGCCCUUCAUACUCAUAAGUUAUUUUCAAUGAUGAGUAUUCCGAAUCGACGAUCCACUCCGUUAAAUAUGAUUUCGAAAUAUAUAUAUAUAUCUAUAUAUAUAUAUAUAUAUAUAUAUAUAGAGAGAGAGAGAGAGAGAGAGAGAGAGAGAGGAGCUGGAAUGCUAUCGAUAGCAAACGGGCUCCGUUGCCACCCAUUUGUUUUCAAUGAUGGAACCUCCAAAUCGACGAUCGGCACCAUUGAAUAUGAUCUAUACCACUUGAAAUGUUUAGAAAUCAAAUUUCAUAUAUUUUCGAUAUUGUUCUCUUAUCCAUCGAGUGGAAACAAAAAUGAACNCAAAAAUUCAAUUGAUUUGGAUAUCUUUACGCCGUUAAACGAGAAAACGCCUCAUAUCGACCAUUAAAAUUACAAAUUUUGAAACCCUUUGAUCAUUAGGCAAAUGAUGUCAAAAAGAUUUGAAAUUUGAUUUCUAAACACUUCAAGUGGUAUAGAUCAUGUUCAACGGUGCCGAUCGUUGAUUUGAAGGCUCUAUCAUCGAAAACAAAUGGGUGGCAACGGAGCCCGUUUGCUAUCGAUAGUAUUCUAGCUCAACUAUAUAUAUAUAUAUAUAUAUAUAUAUAUAUAUGAUGAUCUUCUGUAGAUUCUUUCUCAUUUUGUUCCUUCUGUCCUUCCAAAACAGCAAUUAAUUUUUAUGACCCAGAAGCACACACAAUAAUGGUCAGCAGAGAUCGGCGAGUAGCAUAAUCAAUCUAACAAGUGAUCUUUUUACGUAGGACCGAUCAUAGUUCCCGAUUCUCUGUUCUUUCUUUCGGUGGGAACUGUUAUCACCAGUUCUCUAUGGGCCUAGGGGAGAACUUUUUUUUUUUUUCUUUUUUAACAGUAAAAGAAAAUCCUUUCAUUUCCAAUAUUCCACAAGAAGAGAAGGAAGAAAACCAGAAUUCUGUUGAAUUUCCAGUAUUCAGUUUCACGAAAUUUUCGUUCUUUGCAUGGAUAUUUUGAAACUAUGAACUAAUGGAUAUUGUGCUCCAAAUAUAAACUCGGUUGCGCCUUCGCAUAUGUUAUGAUAACAUUACAGAUUACUUCUAUCUGAUCCUGAUGGUUCACGGCUAAUUAUUUCUCUGGAAUGUUUUCGCAGGACUAGAUCCCGCGCCUCGAUGCCCUACAUAUUCUUAAUGAGUUAAAGAGAGCUUCAUAUAUUAUAAGCUUGGUAAGUCGCCUACCUAGUUUCUAAUUUUCCUGUCUCUCAAACUUUUGCUCCAAUGGACAAUGUUUGUUAUUAUAAAACACUAUGUAAAAUAUGCUGCUCUCUGUUACUAUGUAAGACCCUUCUGGGGAGCUCAUAUUUUGGAUUAUGUUGUAACUGCUUCCGUUUUUCUUAUGUGUUGAGGUAUGAUGAUGUGUUUUUUUAGCCUUAUCAAGCAUUCUGAGGGUUUAGCUUUGGAUCCAAAUUAUCCUAUUUCACUUUGGUUCCCAACAUUUUAGUUUUCGCAUCUCGGUCCCUAAUGUCUAGUAACUGUCCUGUACCAUCUACUAAUAAGAGUCUGGGAUUCCGUUUCCAAAAAGCAUCCACUUCCAAUUGCUUCUAAUUUUUCUCCUAUAAUGCUAUAAAAUUACAGUAGUAAUCACCGUCAGCGAAGCAUGUAGUUAGCAGUUUUGAAUUCGAAUUUUUCAGUCCUUUCAGAGUAUAUGAGCAGAUGCUUUCUGCUGUUGUUUAGAUCUCUUCUUUUUUUCUUUUUUUUUUGAGAAAAAUGUAACAUGCUAUUAGCGUCGAUUAUUGAAAAAAAUAAUCUUUGCAACAAGUUUGAGGCAACUACUGAGGUUUAAAAAAUUGUAUUUAACUACUAUAGGUUUAACAUGUUUUUAUUUUACUAUUUUAUGGUGAAAAUACUUAAAAAUAAAUUAAAAAUAAAAUUACAAGAUAGUUAAUUAUAAUUUUUUCGAAUUUAUGAUAAAAGUAAAAAUGUAAUAAAUUACUAGGACCAAAAUGAAGUUAACUAUUCUUCUUCUUCUUUUUUUGCGUAAUUUAAUCUAUUUGAAAAUAAAGCACACUAGGUUUAGUUGGUCUAUUCAGUUUAUUUGCAUCUUCUUGUUUAUUUGUUUUGAAGCCAAAUCAAAAUCCAAAUAUACACUCAAAGUAUAAAUUUUCCACAAUGAAACUGUGUGUGUGUGUGUGUGUGUGUGUGAGAGAGAGAGAGAGAGAGAGAGAGAGAGAGAGUAUAAUGCAAUUGGUUGGUAUUGGAUUUGGGUUUAAAGUAUGCGUUGUGUUGUAAACUAGGGAUAUUUUCUUAUUUACUGUAAACAGUUAUAAAUUAAUUAAUGAGAAAUAAAAGGGGUAGGCCAAAUAUUGCGGGAUCAUCAUGAGAGGCACCACAUGGAUUGAGUGAGUAUUCCUUUGCACGUUUCGCACAUGUAACAAAAUCAAAUGCUUGAUGCACCCCUCAAAAGUGUGGGCUCCCUAAAAUUGUGUGGGUGGUUGGUUAAUAAGUAUAAUCUAGCAUAUAAAAAUAAUCAAAAAGAUUAGUCCAAUGGUAGAAAACUCGAUAGCAUCAAGUGUUUGGUGCUAUCGAUACCAUAGCAGCCAGACUCUUAUUAUAUUAUUUUUAUAUUAAUAAUUUUUAUCGAUAUUUAGUCAACUAAAUUAGAUUCUAAAAUUUUAUUAUAAUAAUUCAAAAACGUUGCCUCAGAAAUUAUAAUAAAUUAAAGGCUAAAUUACAGAAAGUUCUUAUGUCAAUACUCGCUUUUUUCAUUUUUCUUCCUUUAUUUAAAUAUCUACACUUUGCCCCAAAAGAAAUAAAAAAUGUUUAUUUCGGUCCCCGCCAUCCGUGUUCCAUUAGAAUUCUGUCUAUAUUUUAUUAUUAUAUAUUUUUAUACCUAAAAUACCUUUGAAAUUCUCAUCUCAUAUACGCCUCCUCUCUCCUCAUUGACAUUUUCGAUCGCACUGCCUCGCCCUUCUCCACCACCCUUGCCCUAGCCUACCCCUCUAUCCGCGCCUACACACACUCCCUCGCUCUCCUCGUCGCCCUUGCCCAUCUCUCGGUCCACGCCUGAACCCUAAACCUUGAACUCAUCCUGAUCUCCUCCCUACCAUUGCCGAAAUGGAGGGGCGAUGAGGGUGCAAGAGGAGCGGGGGAACAGGUAGUCAGAGCCGGAGUCGAGGGAGACGCGAAGGACGGAGGAGGAGAGGCUGUAGAUGAGCAGAAUUGGAAAAGAGACGAAAAGAGUGAUGAACAAUUUGGUUAUUUUGCAUUAGAGUUAACUCUGUAUUCCUGUAAAUAUUUUUUAUUUUAAAAAGACAAAAUAUAGAUUUUUUAUAUGAUAGAGAGAGAGAAACUAAAAAAUCAAACUUUGAUAAAUUUUUUUUUUUGUAAUUUAGCUCAGAAUCAAAAUAUCACACAGUUGAUAGUUUGAGGGCCAAAAGUGUAAUUUACUUAUGAUUAUUCUUUUCUCUCUCUCUUGUUAAGAAAAAAAGAGGAAAGAGAAGAUGCUGUCAGUGUAGCAAUCUGGCUACGUGGGCGGAAGCAGAAAAUGACAGACUGUGACGCCUGAAGUGACGGGGAAGUCCAGGGGGCAGGAACCGAAAACACAUACACUGGCUUCGGCCAAAGGCCCAAAGCUAUUUGUGAGAAUAUAAAAUACAUAUAUUUUAAAUAAAAAUAUAUUUUUGAAAAGUUACUGAGUUUUACACUUACUAUUAGAUACUUCAUAGAUACUUCUAGAUAAUUCUUUACUUCCUAUAUACUUCUCUUAAAAAACCUAUUAGUCGGAUGCAAUAGAAGUACAGAAUAAUUAAAACUAUAUAUAAUUAAUAAAACAAUAGUUAUUAUUGUAUUUAUUUUAUUUGAUUGGAUGUAGUAGAUCGUGUUACAAUUAAAAACAAUCUAUUUAAUUGCAGAUAGUUGAGAAGUGUAUUUUUAAAAUUUUAUUAUUUUAUUAUGUAUAGUAGUCUAUUACUUGCAGCGUAGAAAAAAAAAAUAUAUUUUUUAUUUAAAAAGUAAUUUGAGAGGUAAACUUAUGUUUUAUUUAAAGUUGCUCUCUUUAAUUAUUACAGUUAGAAUUGCGACUAAUUUAGAUGUGGUUUCAAUUUCUAUAGUUUAACCUCCCAAUGUUGAAAUUUAACCAUUAAACCAAACACUAUAUAUAUAUAUAUAUAUAUAUAUAUAUNAGAGAGAGAGAGAGAGAGAGAGAGAGAGAGGGGGGGGCAGCUAUACUAUCAGUAGCACAGAGGCUGUGAUGCAGCUUUCAAAUCAAAGAUCGGAUCUGUUAGACUUAAUCUAUACUAUUAAAAAUACUUAAAAAUUAAAUUGUAUAAUUUUUGGAUAUUAUUUGGCUAGUGAUCGAUUCUGUUUCGUCAGACUUGAUCGUAUAUAGAGUUAUAAUUAUAGUACAGCUGUAACUAUUUAUAACCAAACAGCUCUUUUAACUCUCUCUCUAUUUGUUUUAACAAAUUUUAACCGCACUACAAAUUUUAACAGUACCUACAAAAAUUUGUUAGCUAUAAAUUUAUAGUUACAGCUGCCAUCCAAAAAAAUAAAAAAAAUUGUAGCCACAUGCUUUGACCACCAAAACUAGGCCUAAAGCUUCAUCCCUACCACUUUUCUCUCCUGUACUCUUUUUUCUAUACUGUACAAUCCCUUAAAAAAAGAAAAUGGUGUGAGAGAGAGAGAGAGAGAGAGAGAGAUUUAAGGGAUAAUCAUCCAAAGAAUGUUUAGAGGAGCCAAAAUUUCCCAUACAAGAAGUAGAAAGAGAUAACCAAGGUACAAAUUGAUUUCCUUUUGAUUGUUUACCCUUUUAAUUUUGUGCUUCAUAUAUAUAUAUAUAUAUAUAUAUAUAUAAAACCUAAAUUAUAUGGUUUGGUUAUAAAUACUCUUGUAGACCAAAUAUUAUUUUGUAAAUAUGAAGCUUUAAAACCUUCCAAUCAUGUUGUAGAUUAAAUGACAUUAAUUACUGCAUAACAGUGAUAUGCCAUGUUAACUAGGUAGUGAUGAUAUUUUUUUUGCCUAUGUUUAUGCAUAAUUUAAUUCCUUUUUCUCCUCUAAAUCUUGGUUCAAAAACAUUGGUUUGCUUAAUAUUUAUAUACACUACAAGUCUACAAUUUCUGGUUAAUAUUGCAUUUUCAUCUGCAUAUAUUCCUCAUCUUUUACAUGAUAUGAAUAUGAUGUUCUCCUGGGUUAAUUGCAAGAACUAUAAUUGGAAAAUCUUCUACUGUUGGCAUGCAGGUUCAAAUCUGAGAAUCACUUUUCUCCAAGAUUGAAACAAAAAAGCAGUUAUUAUGAAAUGAAUUUUGGAACAUUGAGCUCUGUACUGAGAUUUAUUGAAGAACUUCUCAUUUGUGCACUCAAAGCUCACACUGGUGGUGUCAUGGAAAGAAGAUUAAGGAGAAGUGCUUCUGCUGCAAGAUUAUACAUGGACUACAACAAGCCCUAUCUACAAGUAAGCAGCAAGCAGCAAAGAGCCUUCCCCACAAGCUAUUUCCGCGUCGAAUCGGUUCCGGUACUUCUCUUCCUCACAGCUUCCCUGCUGCUGCUUCCAUUGGUUCUGCCCCCAUUGCCCCCUCCACCUUUCUUAUUACUGCUGCUUCCUAUGGGAAUGCUUCUUCUGCUCAUGAUCUUGGCAUUUAUGCCCUCCGAUGUUCGCGAAGUCGCUUCUUCCUACUUGUAAUGAGUAUAGUAAAUUUUGGAUUGAGAUAUAUAUAGAGAGAGAGAGUCUGGCUACUAAACUCUUCUGUGUAUAGAUCCUUUUGUAUUCAUAAGUUUUCGGCCGUUAGAUGUACCGUUUUGACCAUUUUCAUCCAUUGGAUGAUGCUAUUCAACUAACCACCCCUCAACUCUAGAGGGCCAUUAUUAUUCUAACCGCACAUUUCUUUAUCCAACGGCCAAAAAUUGAUGAGUACAAAAGAAUCUAUACUCAUAAGAAUAUAGUAGUCCUAGACUAUAUAUAUAUAUAUAUAUAUAUAUAUAUAUAUAUAUAUUGUGAAAUGUUUCUGUUUUGUACAUAGGAAUACUUGUUAUGCUUAUGUUCUUGGCAUUUAUGCCCUCCGAAUGUUCGCGAAGCCGCUUCCUCCUACUUGUAAAGAGAUUAGUAAAUUUUGGAUUGAGGCAUAUAUUGUGUGAAAUGGUCCUGUUUUGCUGUACUAAAUGAAUGGAUAUGCCAAAUUUUCCUAUUAUUAAUCGAGUUUUUUGUGCAAAUUUUGUUCUUGUAUGUAGUGUUGAAAUCUGUGGUUUGUUAUGAUUAUAUAUGUUGUCGACUCUUAUUUAUUUUAGCGAGGAUUGGAGAGUAUAUAUUGAUGAAUUGUCGCAUUUUGUUGGGACUAUUUAUGAUGAGAAUAGGAAGUAUGAAAAAGUUUCAGAUAAAAGCGAGUUCGACGAACUUGGCUGCUUUAUUGAGAUCAUUUCAAUAAAUUGGUGGAUAAUCUCAUAUGAUUUUUAAUGUACCAUUAUGUAGGAGUCUCUCUGGUGUUAAUAAAUACAUACAAGUUAAAAUAUGUGGAUUUUUUUUGAGAGAAAGUUAAAAUAUGUGGAUUAUUGUCGCGUUUCACAUGUUUGUCGAGUAAAUUAGGAACUCAUCGGUCUAAGUUGUUAGCAUUUUACAUUAUUUGUUGAGAAUGUCAUAUUUAUGGCUUCUGAGAGGUGAAACCUAUUUGAACCACUGAAGCAGGAAAUGAUCAAAUUUAACUAUUCAAAGCUUUGUAAGUUACCAAUUAUGCUUUGGCUAAUAUCAUGAUCAAAUAUUUUUAGUGUUUAUGGGUGAUUUCUGAAUCUCGCGCACGCGAACCAACGGUUCAAUUUGUAUUAACAUAUAUGACUAUUUUGGUUGCCAAAAACUUGUAUUGACAUUUUUUUUUUUUGUUGAAAAAAAGGUUGUAAAUAAGUUUUGCUAUUUGUAAUUUGCUAUUAUGAUGAGAUUGGAUUAAGGAAACUUCAAGUACUUGGUUGGUGUUUCCUGCUUUGUAAGUUGGAGAGAUGAAUCCUUCUUGUUGCUUAUUUCAACCUACAAGAUCACAUGAUUAAGUUUUGGAUUGGGGAUUGAAUUUGAUCUUUUUUUAUCAAAAAAGAAAAAAUUGUAGGUCAUAUUGCUGGGAGCUUCAUGAUCAAAUGAGUAUAGGCUUUUUAGUACAAGCUUACUCUCAUCUUGUUUUAGAGUUAAAUUAUGCCAAAGGCCACUGGUGAAUAAACUUAGGGCAAAGUUUCAUUUAGAUCGCGGAACUUAAGGUGUUUAAACUUAGGGCAAAGUUUCGUUUAAAUCAUGGAACUUAAGAUGUUUUGACUAAUGUGUUGUACUGUUGAUUCAGUUGUCACAUCACAUUUUGUAUGGAAAUGAUAUGAAAAUUAAAUUACAACUCUCUGAAGAUAAUGUGAUAGCUAUAUCAGCUAACAUUUCGUUGUCGUAUUACUACAUCUUCUCUUAUAAAAUAUCGUCUGAUCUACUGUUGCAUUAUCUUAAUAUUAAGAAAAGCAAACGGAGUUUAACAAACAUUACCCUGCAGAAGUUGAGUUGAAAUCGAAGUUCAGUGCAGUAACAGUAACAUUUUUUUUUUUUUAAGUUGAGUGAUCCAAAUGAAACUUCUAAAAAAGUUUACUAACAAAUGAAAAUUUUCAAGUCUUUUUUACCAUAAAAUGUUUACCCCUCUACAUCAAAUUUCCAGUGUCAGAGCAACUCCUGUCCUUCAAUCAAUCAGACAGACUAAAUUGUAUUAGUGUCUCAAAUUUUAAAUUAUUAUAAUUUGAGUCUCUUAAUUUAUUUAAUUAGUUAAAUAAUAACGCCGACACUAAUAUGACAGUGAUGUGAUAAUGUUGACACUAGUAUGACAGGGAUGUGAUAAUACUGAGACCAAUAACAUUACAGUUAUUAAAAUAUUAUACUACUGUCACAUCAUAAAGUAUUAGUAUCUGGAAACUAGAUUGGUCCGUAGAAAAUAAUUACAACAACAAAAAAAUUUAAGUAAAAAAUUAUAAUUAAUUAAAAGUUUAGAACCAAGAUAUCACAUGGCUCAAAAUAUGAGGACCAAAAGUGAGACUUGUAUACUCAGAAAGGACAUGGCAAACAAUGUGUCCAAAUGAUCUUCUUUUCAUUAUCUUAUUAUUAUUACUUCUUUUUUAUUCAACAAAAAAAAAAAAGAAAAAAAAGAGGAGUUAUCAAAUUCCAUAUAGAUAGUUAGUGCUUCACCUGAUGUGAUGGGCAUGGACUUCUAUCAUCAUUUCCAGUAAUGUGGAAAGCAAAGGGAAUCAAUCACAGUCCUUUUUUUUCUUUUUCUUUUUCCUUUCUUCCUUUUCCUUGUGCAUGCACCCAGGUUAAAAUGUAUGGAUAGUCCCUAAUCUAUUCCAAUGUUUCAUCUUAGUAGUUAACACUUCUUUUGUUGUUUAAAAUAACUUCUUUUUAUUUUUUUGAGAGAGAAAAAGAUAGAUAGCAUGCUAUCCGCUUCGUUUAUUUCAUUUAGAAAUAAACUUAGCUGAAAAUGUGAAUUAAAUAGGAUUCGAACUUGGGUCUAGGAUACCAACCAUCAAGUCCUUUGACACUUGCUCUAGGAACGGUCGGUUUGUUUAAAAUUACUUUAGUCUUGAACUUUCACACUUAAUAGUGUGCUUAAAUCUUUUAACCAAAAGUGAAAGUGAAAGAUAAUUUUACAGUAAAAAUCAACUACCGUCGAAUUUUCUUUUGCAAUUUAUGAAUAAGUUUAGGUACUAAAUUGUUUCAGUGAAAAAUAUGAGAGCCAUGGAAUUGUAUAUGUAUCAUAAUUAUCCAUCUCCAUUUUUACUCCAAAGUGCCUACUAUUUUGAUACUGCACAAAAGAAUUUUUAUUUUAAUAAAAGCUUAAGCUAUCUGAGACCGGUGUAUCACUAAUUUAUCUUCAUUACUCUCCCCUUUAGAGAAAUCGAUUGUUCACAAAAAAUUAAAGGAUUUGGUAACAUAUUUAUUAGGAUAUACUAUUCAUUUUCAUGAAUAUUUUAGCUGUAACGUCCCAAUAGUCCCACAUCGGAUGGAAAAAUAAUUCUGAUUAAAAUAUAUGAGGCCUACACGCUAGUAAUAAUAACUGGACUUAAGUAUUUAAGGUCGGUGGUUUGGGCCCAACGAGUUAUUAUUGCUAGCGGGUUAGGUCGGUGCAUUAACUCGCUAUUGCCGAGUUGUAAAGAACAACCCAAAAGGGAGAAAAGCAACACAACAUUAUAGGGAAGUAAAACAGACUGAACGGCACGUGGGCCACCUGGCCCGGCACGACUUCAGGCCGUGCUAUAGCCCGGCAAGCUCGGCCCAAGGCUCGGGGCCGUGCUGGGCCUUACCUUUGGAGCAUUGGGCCAAAAUCUAUCUUUUUUUAAAUAAUACAAAUUUAUUUAUUAUUUUUUAAAAAUUAAAUAUUUAUUUUAGUAUAAUUAUUUUUAUAAUUUUUUUAUUGUUUUAAUAAAAAUAUUAAUUUAAAUUGAAAAUAUUGAUUAUUUAUAUUUUUAAAUUCAUACUAAAUUUUUUUAAAAAAAAUUAAAAAUAAAUAUUUUACUAGGCCGACCCGAAGCACGGUCCGGUCCGGCAUGGCCCGUGCCUUCCAAGCCGAAGGGCCGUGCUGUGUCAGAGGAUAGACAAUUUGGGCCCGACAGUGCCCGGCCCGAAAUUAAAUCCGGACUGAGCGGGGCCAAUCGCUAGCCCGUUUUGGCCUGAAAAAUGUGGGCCGUACCGGCCCGGCACGGCCCAUAUUACACUCCUAUAUAUUCCCCAGUCGCCAAAUUUAAACGGUCGGAGUGAUCCUACUAGUGCUUAAGCCCGAGCUUCGUGGAAAAAUAAAAAUAUUUUGAUGAUUGUUCUUCAAUAGUUUCGGACUAAAGUGGAAACAUAACCUCAUAAUCGGAACUUUUGCUUUUGAUGCGUAGAAUCUCAUUGCAGCUUUUUGUCACUAUAGAACAUUUAGCCCUUGUUUAGUUGGGGGUUAAGGGGUGGAAUAACCCCUUAAUCCCUAUUUUAUCCCCAAACACUCCAAAAAAUGGGUGGGGUUAGCUAACCCACCUCAAAUAAAUUAUCCCGGUUAGCUAACCCCACCUAACCCCACCAAAUUCCAACCAAAUAUUAUUUUCUAUUCAUAAUAACCCACUAUCUUUCUUAUCACACCUAUUCCAACCAAUCAUUAUCCUUCUUUAUCAAUCAUUAUCUUCUUAUCCCACCUACUCCAACCAAACAUUAUUUUUCAUUAUUCUAGACUAACUCCAACCCCCAACCAAAUACAAAAAAACUUUAACCCCAUUUUAACCCUGAACUUAACUUUAUUCCUGGAAUAGCUACUUUUUCCUUAACCCCGAACCAAAUGGAGGCUUAGACUUCUCUAAUGAAUGACGACACUAUCAAAUAACAAUAGAGAAAUGAUUCGAUAUUUUAUUUUAUAAAAAGUAAAAAAAUCUUAACCGUUAAUUAAUAAAGGUUAAAAAUAUCAUUUCAUUAUGUAACAGGUUAAAAGGUUAUUUCAUAUGAGGGUAUUUUUGUAACAAAACUAGACAAAAUUUUUAAAAAAUUUCGAUUAAUAUCCCAAAUUUACCAUUAAUUUUGUAACUAAUUUAAACAUUAAUUUAAAAUUUGAUUGAUAUUCCAAAAUUUAGGCAUUAAUUUUAGGAAUUUUAGAAUUCUUCUAAUUUAGUCAUUAAUUUAAAUUUUAGGAAUUUUAGAAAUAGUAAAAAAUAUGUUCAAUUUAAUUAUUUAAAUUUAAAUUUAAAUAAGAGAAAUUUUGUGUUACUAUUUUAACAAAAUUUAAUGUUGAUAAUAACGAAUUCAACAUAUUUAAUUUGUUUAAGAAACUUUUAAAUUCCUCUAGUUUAGAUAUUAAUUUUUUAUCACAACUUAAAAAAAUUGAAUGUAGGAAAAAUAAUUUUAAAUUCCACGUAUUUAAUAUGUUGUAAUAUUUUUUAACGAAAUAACUGUGGAUUACAGAUAUGAAAUGACAAAAUAUUUAUGGAUUACCGAUGUUAAUAGGUACGAAUACCCAUAAUUUUAUCUGAAUCUGAAUCAAAAUCCAAAAGCAAAUGCAAUGGAUUUGUCUAUUCUAAAUGGAUAUAGUUUUGGAUAUGAAUAUUAAAAAUGAAAAUCCGACAGAUUUAAAUUCGGUUAUGGAUUUUGAUUGUAUCCGAUCUUAAACCGAAACCAACUGAAUCCCGAAUUUAUUUUACGUUAUAUAUAAUAUAUAUAAUUUUUCUAUGUUAUAUUUGAAUAUAUAUUUUAAAAAUUUAGAAUUAAUUUAAUAUAUUUUAAAACAUUGUAAAGAGAAAUAAAUGUUUCGGAUUUUCAGGUUCGAAUUAGAUUUCGGGUUUUGGAUUUUUAGUCCGGUACGGGUGUGGAUAUAAUUUUCUAAAAUUCGUCAAAUUUGGGUUCGGGUUCCGGUUUCGGGUUUGAUAGUCGGAUUCGGGCUCGGAUUUUUGAAAAUCUGCCCCGAAUCUUACCCCUUUACAUCUCUACUGUGGAAUGUGGAUGAAGAAGAAAGAUAGAGGGAGAAAAAAAAAAGAAGAGUGAAUAGAGAUUUAAUUUUUUAUAGUGGAUUAAAAUUAUUAAAUUAUUCAUGUAUUAAAAGAUCAAAAUAUUCUUUUUUGUGAUAUCUGGAAACCGGUACCUCUCUCACCUGCUAUUACGGGUCAUAAUUUUAAAAAAAUUAAGUCUGAGCCGUUGAAUAAAAAUAAAUGAGCGAUUUUGUAAAAUAACAAAGAAUAGAAGUAUUACUCAUAACAAUAAGUGAAAAAGCGGGCGAAAAUGAUAAAAGAAAACUUACAUAAACGCAUUUUAUGUAAUUAUUUAGAAUCUUUUGCCUUUAAAAUGUCAGAAUUUUUGGACCCAUAUAAAAGAAUGCUUUUAUUUCCUAAAGUGAUUAGGUGGAAAUUCAAAAUGUAUGGAGACUCCCUCAACUAUAGACUUCUAUGAAAUGGCCCCUCAACUUUUAAAUUUAUUUAAUUUGAGUUAUCUUAGUCCAAUAAUGACUCGGUUAAAAUUUUUAAAUAAUUUUAAUAAACUUUUAAGCGUAUCUAAGAAAGUAAUCACAAUUUAGACACAGAAGCUGCAAACUAAUAAAAAUUAGGACUAUAGAAGGUGUUGAUUGAGGAAAAAAGUGAUUUCUCAUAUAGCAGUAGCAUGCUAAAUUGCUAUUUCCAAACUAAUCAAUUAUAAAUAAGAGAAAAAGAAAAUUUCAUCGUAAAACUCCUAAAAAUAUAUUGGUUCGAACUUCAAAGUUCAAAAAAUCAAAGUUUAAGAUUGGAACUAUUUGAUAUUUCAAACCAUCUAAAGCAACAAAUUAAAAAUUUUGGGAGUAAAGUAAAAUAAAUGGAAUAGGUUAGGGACCAAUUUGAAAUUUACCCCACUACUUAAUAGUAGUCCCUGUAUUAGAGUCGGCAAUAUUCGCAAAGACAACGCCGACUCUUUACUAAAUCCCUCUUAUUCUCGUUUGGAGCGGUGACUCCGUCAGAUAACAGCGAGGAGCUCGGAGGCCCAGACUAUUGCGGGCUUUGCGAGGGAGGUGCCUGUUGGUGUGGACUCGUGGUGGGAGGUAAGCCAAGUUCAUGUCGGUACCCUGUGAGGAUUUCCAAGUCAUUCUCAGGAUGGAGAAAUGGUUAAGGCCUUAGUCGUGUGGCAGACGAUGGGGCAAUGAUUAUGAAGAAUCAGUUUGCGGUCCGUGGUUGGGGUUGCCGCGGAGUUGGGUAUUGCGAAUAAGUCGUAAGACUCAUAACCCCACGAAUCCCGUCUCUUAUCUUUUUCUUAGUAUAAUUGUAUGGAGGCCCCCUCAACUAUUGGAAAUUUGAUCUACAGGCCCAUAAAUUUUUUUUUAUGUUGAAAGCCUCUCAAUUUCUUUUUAUUUUUUGAAUCAAAUAAUUAUAUCAAAUUUAAUAGCUUUUAUUUAUUUUUUAGUAAUAAAACUAAACGAUUUAACAUUUACUAACUAGUCAUUAUAUAUAGUAAUAUUUUUAAUGUAAUCAAGUAUUAAAAAUUCAAUAAAAAAAAUAGAAGUUGAAGGGAGAGGGUCUCAAUCGAAAGAAAAAAAAAAGGUAAGGAUGCGUUUCAAAUUUGUACACAGUUGAAGGGCCUCCGUACAUUUUUUCAUAUACUUUUCUCCCCUAAAUCCUCGUCGUUGUCACCUUCUCUUUUCUCUGCUUCCUCUCUCUCUCUCUCUCUCUCUCCUCUCCCCCCCCUCUCUCCCCCCAUUUUCGCCAUGGAUGAGGAGUACGAUGUGAUAGUGCUCGGGACGGGGCUCAAGGAGUGCAUCCUCAGCGGCCUCCUCUCCGUCGAUGGCCUCAAGGUCCCACCGUUUAUCCGAUCUAUGCUUGUUUUAUGCGUUCGUUACGAUCUAUAAACUUGUAAUUGAGUUACGUGUGGAUCGAUCUCCAUCCAUGGUGUUUGAUCUCAAUGUGUUGUUGGUUGUUGUGCGUUCGCAUCAUUGUGAUUAAUGUGAGAAUUAUAGUUGAAUUGGACCUUAAAAAUUGCGUCUUGGGAUGUUAUUUGUCUCUGAUUUGUUAAGUCUAGGCAACUCUUUAUGAUUCUUGUGCUUACAGGUUUUACAGAUUAUUGUAGUGCAUUAAAACAAUAGUGACCUUUAAAUUUUGGUUCUAAUGUAAAAAAUAUUACCUUGUUUUGAUGUUACAAUGUAUUUGUUAUAUAGCUUAUUCUGGUUCUAAGAAGAACACUCGUUGUUGCUUUAGUCACAUUAGUCCCCAAUUCAAUUAGCCAUAACUACUCAAAUCUAUUUCAAAUUGCCCUAUAGUUGAGGAGAAUUCAUGCAUUUCUACCUUUUCAUUUCGAAUUGCGUAAUGACAAUAACUAUAUUCAGACAACAAUGAGACGACAAGCUAUCAUUUGAAAUUCUUAAGUCAAAGAGUUGUCAAAUAUGAGAUAUUUAGUUGUAAUGAUUUUCAUGGUAAUUGACCUGCUAGUGGUUAACUUUCACCUUUUCGGAAGUUUGAAUUUGAUGUGAUUGAUGUUGAAGCACUCGACGUAGUGGCAGCAUUUUCCAUACAUGCCUAUUUUAAGUUAAUGAUAUAUUAAAACAUUAUCAUGGUUACUAAAGUUGCUAUUUAUGGAUCAGGUCUUGCACAUGGAUAGAAAUGACUAUUAUGGUGGAGAGUCUUGCUCACUCAAUCUCUUCCAGGUAAGAAACUUCGUCUUUGGAGAUCUAAUGCAAAUAGAAAGUUGCAAACUGAUAUAUUCGUCUUUGUACUUAUUUGAAUAUCACUGUGUGGACAUUUACAAUGCUUAAUCUGAGUAGCAUCUUGGUUUUUAUUAUCUUACUAUAGUGUUUGAUACGCAUGAUUUAUGUGUACUUAGUGCAUUUAUUCAUACUUCCAUGAUGGCUGAAAUGCCAUUUCUUAUUACAGCUUUGGAAAAGAUUUAGAGGUAAUGAUAACCCCCCUGCACAUCUGGGACCGAGCAGAGAUUACAAUGUAGACAUGAUUCCAAAGGUAUGUUCUUACUCGUUACAUUACGAAGUAAAUUUAUUCACCUUGCAGUGAGAACUUACACUUUAGUAAGUUAUUCCACUAAAACUUGCAUAUUUUGUGGCCAAACCAUACUUAUAUGCUUGGUUGAUGUAAGACAAGCUGGAAGUAACCGACAAUACCCACUGUUGCUCAUUGUCUCUUAGGUUUCUGCUUUUAUAUUGGAUGGUGUAAAUACAGUUCAACACUAUACAUCGAGAUGUUGCGCCAAGUUAAUUUUAGUUGUCUAGUAUUCUUAGCGAACUUGCAUAGAAGGUGUGUUCGGUUGGACCUUCUUGUCCCAGGGAAGUUUACUCUUUGCUGUUGUGAUGCCACUAAUCAUUUUGAGGUUCUCUCUUAAAUGUGCUAAUCUGUUAGCUUCAAAUUACUUUUGUGCAUUAUGAUUGAAAUUGUGAAAAGAACAAAGCAUUUUCUCUUGGAACUCCUCAAAUUGUUUUACAGGCCUGUAUUGCAAUUAUCUUACCUUUUGAGAAACUACAAAUAUGAUUAAUUUUUGCAAAUUACAAUUCAGAAGCCUCUUCUUUACCCUCCGCUCCACUAGGCUACUCUGCCAUCAGUAAGAAAUUGUCAGUUGGGGAGGAGGAAAUAUCAGUAGGAACUUAUGGAUUUAUUGUGGAAACAUGGAAUUUAUUCUUUGCUUUUUCCAAACUCAUGACUUUGCUUCAACUGAAGGCGAUGGAGCACAGAGAUGAAGAUCUAGUCAAAAAAGUGAUUAAAGAUGUAGAAAUUUGCUACUUCAAUAAUUAUUCUCAUAGUGAAACCAUUCCAUUAUAGAAUAAAUAUCUUGCACAUAGGAUUGAUGUGUAAGAAAGAAAACAAGGAAAACAAACUGAUCAGCUUGAUUAUUUCCAUUUCCAUAGGGUUUCACAUUUAUUUUUACAGCAAUCUCUUAAUAUGAAAAUAGAGAUCAUUCUUGCUUGGACAAUUGCUUAGACAAACAAUAUGUUGGUUUUCACUUCCAAAAAAUAUACAUGAAUUACUUCUUCUUUUUUCGUAAUGACAAGUUGAUUAUGGCAACUUAAGUAUUGGUCUUUGUUCAUUAAGAUUAAAACUUUCUAAAUUUCAAGCCUGAGUUGUGCUUGGAAGUGCAUGCUCUUUGCGUGUUCUUUUCAAUGUCGCUUUUGAAAUGGAGUUGGCUAGUUUUUACAGUUAAAAUUUUGACAUUUCUUAAAGAGAUAGUGGAACUCACUGGAUAAUGUUUCUCUGGUUAGUUCAUGAUGGCAAAUGGAAUGUUGGUUCGAGUUCUCAUUCAUACUGAUGUUACAAAGUAUCUGUACUUUAGAGCUGUAGAUGGAAGUUAUGUCUUCAACAGAGGAAAGGUACUUUGCCAUUUUCCUUUAUCAGUUGCUUCUGUUGUUAAGCUUCCUCUUUUCUCUUUUGAUGAUUCUUUUGUUGACAAAUUCUUUUUUUUUACGUUUUGUCAGAUUCACAAGGUGCCUGCCACUGAUAUGGAGGCGCUGAAAUCUCCAUUAAUGGGAUUGUUUGAGAAGCGACGAGCUAGGAAGUUCAUCAUUUACGUCCAAAAUUAUAAUGAAAGUGAUCCAAAGACACACGAAGGUUUGGACCUUACAAGACUGACAACUAGAGAACUGAUUUCGUGAGUACUUAUUACUGCUUACAUAUUAAUUCUAAGAAAGCUUCUCAUCUAUGGAUCAUUCUGUAAAAAUAUCUCUCGUUGCCUUUUUUUUGUGGUUUGUUUUGGAGCAUAUUUUUUAAUUUGCAUACAUAAAGUAGAAUAGUGGCAAGGAUUGUCGUGCCAGUCUGCACAGUCUAGCAUAGCCGGCACGUGCCGCCAUGCCGACCGUAUAAAAUAGGGCAUAAGCUGAGGAGUGCCAGCAUACCGGACCGUGCCAAGAUAUAAAAUACAGUGUGAGCCGAGGAGUGCCAGCAUACCGUUCCAUACCACUAGCUCACCGGCAUGCCCUAUGCUAGGGACACAACAAUCCUUGCAUAGUAGUAGAGAAGUAAAAUGAUUUUUAGAUAAUCCAUUUUUUGGCAAGUUUUGGAACGCAAAGGAAAUUAGCUUUUUCUAUAGUACCUACACUCCGAUUGUUUCUAUGUCGUUCUUUUAAUAUAAAAAUUUAAUCAGUUGCUUCGGAAGCAGAAAAACUCUCUUAUAAUUCCUAUAACUCUAAUUUUUCCUUGUUUUACUUCAGAAAAUAUGGUUUGGAUGAUAAUACAGUGGACUUCAUUGGUCAUGCUUUCGCUCUUCAUAGAGAUGAUCGCUAUUUAGAUGAGCCUGCCCUUGACACUGUAAAAAGGAUGAAGGUAACUUUGCUGCCAAGAGCAUGUUGGCAUGUCUUGAUUGUUAAUAUAUAAUAUGUAGUUGACUUGCAUGCGCUUUUUUUUAAUCCUGCUUUUAAAAUUUGUAGGCUUAAUAACUACAUUGUUGCUAAUACUUCUACUGAAUGUUUUGGUGAUAGCUUUACGCCGAAUCUCUUGCUCGUUUCCAAGGUGGUUCACCAUACAUUUACCCAUUGUAUGGACUAGGAGAGCUACCACAGGUCAAUCAGUUUUUUCCCUUGUACCAUCUGUAUUUUCAUCUUUCAAAUACAUUCAUCCUCCUGACUUGAGGUUUCUCCAUGUAAAUGCAGGCUUUUGCACGCCUUAGUGCUGUUUACGGGGGGACAUAUAUGUUGAACAAGCCAGAAUGCAAGGUAGCUCUGUUAAAUUACGCAUCUAAAAGACAUUAUAUGAUCAUUAACAACUCCAAAUGCAAUAUAGUAGGGAAAAUUCUGAUUCUUAUUUAGUGUGACCUGCUUAAUCAAUUCUCCUAAUCUUAGCUAAUAUUUUGGGCUAUCCAGGUUGAAUUUGAUAUGGAAGGAAAAAGUUUGUGGUGUGACAUCGGAAGGGGAAACUGCUAGAUGCAAGAAAGUUGUCUGUGAUCCUUCUUACCUGCCCAACAAGGUAGAGUGACCAAGUCUGGAUAUCUUGAACUGUGAAAUUUGUCCUCAAAUCUACUUUGCUUGUAUCCCUGUAAUUAAUUAUGUUGAAUGUAUCCCACUAGUUCCAGCUAAAUUGGGGAAGGUUGCUACCAAGGUAUUAAAAUAUUGUAGCAUGCAUGCAUGCAUGGCAUGUGUGUUGCUAAAUUACGAACACUGUUGUGCGACAGCACAUAUAAUGCCAAUACACAGUAUGGCCUACCAUACUCUGCUUGCACAAUCCGGGAAUACUUGUAAUGAUGAAACUAGAAAAUCUAUCUGUUGUUUUUCUAAUUUGAUUAAACUUUCAGAAAAUUAUUUGGAUAUAUUGCAAACAAGGGUCACAAAAUAGGAAAACUGAAUACCCCUAAAUUAACCCUCAAUUUUGUCUAAUUUAGAUCGUUUAAGGAUAUGGUAAAGAAGAAAAUGGUCUGGAAAGCAAUUUAAACUUGGAAAAAUUGCAAAAAAGAGGCUUAUGAACCAUGCCGUUAGCAUGACCAUGCCAUGCUGAUACCGUGAUGCCAUGGAAUGUGCUGAUUCAUGCCUUGCCGCUUAUUCAGAGCUAUGGAUUUUCUGGUAAUAUGACCCACAGAGGUUUUCUAUAAUUUGCUUCCAGGUUAGGAAGAUCGGAAAAGUUGCGAGAGCAAUUGCUAUUAUGAGCCACCCUAUCCCAAACACUGAUGAAUCUCACUUGGUGCAAGUUAUAUUGCCCCAAAAGCAACUGGGCCGAAAGUCAGACAUGUGAGUUGCUUUCAUCAAGUCAUAUACUAGCUUCACUUAUCAUUAGUGUGUGUGUUGUUGCAAGUUUAGGGUCACUUGGAUUUUUGGUUAUGUCAGGUUUCAGGUUGUUUUGGUUGUGAUUGUCCUUGGUUUUUGGUUGCUAGGGUUGGAUUGUCUUGCAUUACUUUGGGUUUGGGUUACUUCGUACUUCGGACCAUUCAGGGUUGGAUAGUUGACUUCUCAAGUCAACUUGGGUUAUCUUGGGUUUUGACUUUUGGGCAGGUUGUUUAGGCUGGGUGUCCAGUCAGCUUUUGCUGCUGAUGCAUAUCAUGCUGCUAAUGAUUCUUUCUAUAUCUAACGUCUUACCAUCUACUCCUGUUUUAUGACGUAUUAUCAGGUUUCUUUUCUGUUGCUCUUUUUUUCACAAUGUUGCGCCAAAGGGGAGGUUCAUCGCCUUUGUCUCAACAGAAGCUGAGACAGAUAAUCCAGAGAAAGAACUUAAGCCAGGGAUCGAUCUUCUUGGGCCUGUGGAUGAGUUAUUCUAUGAGACAUAUGACCGAUAUGAGCCGGUGAAUGAACCCUCUUUGGACAACUGCUUCAUUUCAACUGUAAGUCUUCCAAUCAUUUCUUUUUUAACUCCAAAAUUUGCAGAUACUCAGCAAGUAGUUUGCUUUCUUGCAGAGUUAUGAUGCUACUACACACUUUGAAUCUACUGUGACGGAUGUGCUUUCCAUGUAUAAUAUGAUCACUGGAAAGGUAAAGUUUCUCCUAUCUUUUUGGUUUCUACCUCCCUUUAUUCGUUACUUGUUUCAUAUUAUGAGGGUACGGAGCGACAAUUAAGAGUUCCGAUAUACUAAUAUGAUCUUAGACUACUUGAGUACAGGUCAACAACUACAAUUUUUUAAGCUCAUAAACCUUAAGAUUAAGCUGUGCCUAUUUCGACAAUUUUAUUCGUGGUUGAUACAAAGAAUUCAUUCAUUAAUUAAUUGUUUGUGAUUGACAAUCUUAAUGGUGGAUGUCACGAGAUUAUUCCUUCACCAACUUAAGAAUAGUCUAAAUUAGUUUGCAUUUGAUUAAUUUCAAGUAGUAUUAAUUGACAGUCUUUUUUUGGUCUCUGCACUCUGCAUGGUUCACAACUUUUAUUGUUUAAAUCAAAUUUAAUGCCACAAUAAAUUACAAAAUUUAACGGUCAAACUUUAAUUUUGGAAAGCAAUUAUCAAGAUUCAAAUGCUUACUAAAUAUCACGUCUCUACUGAAUCCAUAUUUAUGUGUACAUAGAUAAUGACAAACACAAGCAUAUGCAUCUCAACGUAUCAAAAAAGUAUGUAGUAAUGCACAUAACAUUAAUAUUAUAAAUAUAUGUUGGAACUCCAGUGGAUGUGCAUUAACUACUUGUAGAAAUCACAUCAUAUCCAUUUGAUAAAUUGAUUUGAACUUGUCCUAUGUACUAAAUCUAGUGAUGUUUUCUCUCCGUAUUUUGUUUUUUAAGUUAUAUUUUGAACUAAUUAGCUAUUUUAAAAUACCCAAAAGCAACAAAUUAUCUUUUUCAAUCAUUGUACAGUUAAUUAAUUUCAAUUCGUGGCCUAAAGGUACGUCUUUGUGUUUUUCUUUUUAUUUCUUUGUUUCAGAUAUAGACGAUGUUAACUUUCUACAAGAUCUCGAAUUCUAACACCCUGAUCAUAUUUUGUCAACAGACUCUUGAUCUUAGUGUGGAUCUGAGUGCUGCUAGUGCUGCCGAAGAAUGAGCUGAGGAGUUCUCUGACUUUGAAGUCCCAGACAUUCAAAUUUUACGAGAUGUUCUUUACGAACAAAUGUCGUUUAAUAGGCUGUAGGAAAUUGGAGAUUUUUUUUUUCUUUUCUAUUAAAUAACUGCAGCUUCUCUGUACAUUAUACCCUGUUACUUAGUUAUGUCUAGGGGAGUAUUUGAAAUGUGAUCUUAGAAAAAUCUAUUUAUGAUUAUGGGUUCAUAUUCUGCUGUUUCAUAUUGGAUUCUGCUUCUUUUCGAACUCCAUAAUGAGUUUCUCAAUUCCUUAGAACACUUCAUUGCUCUGCAGUUCAGGUAAAAUAAUAUAUGGACCUUACCUAAACAAUACUAUAUUUUGAUGUAGGUACCUAAACUUUAAAAAAUUUGAUUUUAGGUUAACUGUGACCCUAUAAAAAUGUCUGAUUGGAGUUUAUUGGCUUCGAAAACUGAGAAAUGGAUUUUAAAACUUUCUUGUUUCCUACAUGGAACUAAUAAAUUAAUGGUCUUAUAUAUGAUGUGAAUUAAUGGACUACAUGAGCCUAAUUUGAACUCAAUUAUAGUGAAAAAAAAGGAAAAAAAAAAUCAACUUAAAACUGUUCCAAUAACACUAGAUAUUAAACUUGAACUCCCAAAAUCGUAUUCACUUGAAAUAUUUAAAUUGCCCCAGCAAUUGAGACUUUAGCGUGACAUUUAAAUCUGAAGAUAAACUAUAUUGUAUGAGUUAUAACAUGUAGGAAUAUGGCAACUUAAAUCCCAUUUAGUCUCUGCAUUUCUCAUUUAUGCACUUAAAUCCCAAAUCCCAUAAAAUGUCAAUGAGGAUAUUUCUCUCUUUCUAUAAAAACUACAAAAGAUUUGGUUUUUUUUUUUUGAGAAAAAAAAAUAUUUGGUAUUGUUUACCCGCACGUGUCUUGUGUGCAUGAUAUAGAUUACGUGUGCAUGAAAAAUUCAUAUGCACUGAAUACACAAAUUAAUAAACGAUCUAAUAUAGAGGAUUCUGCUAAGGUCAUGCAUAUAAUUCAAGAUACCAUGUGAGAGAUAACCAGCACACUGAUCUAUAAAUAAUAAAAUUUGUCUGUAAAAGGCCCAAAACAUUACCUCACAAUAUAUAUUAUUAUGAAAAAAAACUUAUAUAUCCAACUUACCCGUACUGUGUCGCAUCUUGAAAAUAAAGAGCACUCGAGUUUAAAUAUGGGUUACGUACUAUAUAUCUCUCCUAAUAAUAAUGUGAUUGAUUUAGGUAUAUAUUCUGUGUGAGAAUUUAACAAAUAUUCUCAACAUCUUCGACAAGAUGUAUAUUUUAUUGUUAUUUGAUGAAGCAUUUUGCAAUCUAAUAAAAAAAUAACACUGAUCACCAAGUGGAAUUUCUCAAGUAGCUAAGUCCAUAAUAUUUUAUUCGAUUACUUUUUCUGUGUAGUCAUGAAUGGGGCUUGAACAAGAACACAAUGCAUCCGAAGAGGCAUAAAUUAAUAUGGGCGGUAUUUUAGUUGCAUGAAGCUUUUCCACUUCCCUUUUGUCCAAGUACUAUAUCACUUUGAUAGCUUCUAUGAUUUAUUUUAUUUUAUUUUAUCUUUUUACAUUUUAGAUAAAUAUUAGAAAAAAUCCAACUAUAAGCAAUGUUAUCUGUACAUUUAUAUAUAGGGUUUGCGUUUUACACCAUAGUCAUUCGAAGAAGUUUAAUACUAUCAUUACACUUAUAUAUAGGGUGCAAAUACUUGCACCCUAGUCAUCCAAAAACUAAUAUCUUUUUACUAGAUUUGUCAACCCUUCUUUUCUUUUUCCAAUGCUAAAAGUCCAUGACAAGUAGGGUGUGCGGGUAGUAAGAAAUAAUGCUUUGAGAAAUGCUACUUGUACAUAAAAAAAAAAAGGGUGUAAAUCUUACUCCUCCUAAUUCUAAACUUUAAAUAAUCCUUUUAGGUUUUUAGUAUUAAAAAUAAAGGACUGGUAUAGAAUGUUAAUUGUCCCUUGGAUGAAGGAGUAUACAUAUAAAUUACACACUUUUUGAGUAUAUAUAGAUAUAUAGCAGUGCUCUACUGCAUUUUAUCCUUUCUAAAUGAAAUAAACGGAGCGGAUAGCGUGCUAUCUAUCUCUCAAAAAAAAAAAGAAAAAGAUGUGCAAUGCUGUGUGUAUAUUUAAAAAGUGGGUGUAAAUUUUAUACGCUAUCCAUCCAACUAUCCAAGGUCCAAUAUUUUUACACCAGCUAGCCUUCUCAGCUUUUUUUUUAAAAUAUUGAAAAUUCGAAAGAGUUUCUCUAAAGUCUAAAUCCUUGGAUAGAUUGAUCCUUGGAUCAACAGAUGUAAGAUUUAGGCCCCAGUUGUGGCUGUUCAAGUAGCAUUUCUCUGAAAAGAUAUGGUGGGUUCUUGCUAGGAUGGCCUACAAUUUUAUUUGUACUAAUACGACAACGCUCUAAGGUCUUUUUGUUAAAUAAUAUGAAACAAUCGUUUAUUUUUAAAAAUUUAAGCUACUAACUAAAGAACAAUGUUCCUUAUAUUUAUAUUUGACGCUAUCCUCUAAUACCAUGUUAAACAAUAUGAUACGACCGUUUUUUAUUUAAAAGAAUAUUUUUAAUAUUUAUAUUUAGAGAAAUUCUACGUGUACGCAUAAAAAAGUGAGUGCAAAACUUACGCCCCCUCCAUUAAUUCAAGGAUCAAUUUUGCACACUUGUCCUAUUAACACUUUUUUAGAUCCCUCUCCUCAGAGGUAAUCUUUUCCGUCAAAGUCCACAUGAGAAUUAUAAAAAUAUCCGAGCUAGAAAAUGCUUCCACAAUGCACACGAGUACAAUAAUAAAAUAUUUUUAAAAUAUUAUGUUACUAUAAAUUAUUACUCAUAAUUAGACUCUUUGUCAUCCUAUAAAGCAUCGAUGCAUGCAUUUGGUUUGUGAUAUAUUCUAUGUUGUGCAACUACUACAAUAAAGACCUCUUUUUUUUUCUCCUUGAGCGAAGUGACUAAUUGAAUAGUCAUUUUGAGGUAUAUAUACUAUCCUGUAAUGUCUUCAAACACAAAAAAAAAACUCUAAUCUUUUUUAUUGUAACACAUUAAAAGAUAAUAAAAAUUGAACGUAGAUUCACUCUAUUUUUCAAUAUUAAUGUUUAAUUGUCAUAUAUAGCUAGAAGAAAAAAAAAAGGUUUCUUCUUCCUUUGAAUUUAUACAAAAUUAUAUACAAGACAUGCAAUCGAAACAACUGUUCAAAUAUUAUAAAUUUGCUCAAGAUUAUUAAUUAGGAGCCUAUUAAACUAUUUGAUGAAGUUUAGGUAUAAUUUUUAAACCCAGAAACUAAAAAUUGCUUAUAUUAAAGCAUUUAAUAUUAAAAUUCCGAAAAUGUGCAAAAUUGGUCCUUGGAUAUGUAGAGAGUUGUAAGAUUUACACCUCCUUAUUGCUUGUACAAGUAGCAUUCCUCUUCCUAUUACAUUUAACAUCCUAUGUAUUCCCUAUCUUUUACGGAUCGACUUCAUUUUUUUUCCAUUAAUUGUUUGAACAUCGCUUGUAACUAGGCUUUCGUGACGAACACACACUCCUGCUUGAAGAGUACACUCAAAUCCAAAAUUUACUAUUCAAAAAAGAGGGUAUCUGCCAACUGAUCCAUAGUGGUGGAAGGACCUUCUUUUUAACCAUCUCCCCCUCCACAAUGCACAUGAACAAAAGUUGUAACAAAAUUAUAGAUUUUUUUUUUUCCUAAUCAGAAAUCCAAUGCACUUUCUUACUAUCACCUCAAAUCUUUAAUUGUGCCGAGUUUGGAACCAUGGAUUCCCCUUUUCUUUUAAAGAUUAUUUUGGAUCAAAAUUUCAACUAAACACAAUCCAAAUUGGAAAAUGGGAAUGGAAACCCCAGGAUAUAUGCUACGUCAUAAAAACGAACUUUACUACCACCAAUGUGCAUGAAAACACACAUGCUAUGCCACAGGAACCUUUUUGCAGUUAAUUUGUUUCCCUUGCGUAGAGAGAAUACGUUAUAUAUUAUGAGAAAACAAUUGAUGAUGGCAUAGCAUGAGACUAAAUUUAAUGCACGCGUUGUGGAAUCAUCUCUCUCUCUCUCUCUCUCUCUCUCUCUCUCUCUUCUAUUUUCCCUUGAAUGUAAGCCACCUAUAUAUUAAACCAAAAGAGAACACCCAUGCAUGGGACCAUAUAUGCAUGAGCAUUAAUAUGUGUUGGUGCAUAUAUAAUUCCACAUACCUGUGACGGUGAUAUGAUAUGAUGAUCACCGAAGUCACUAAAUUGGCUCCUUCUUACCUACUAGUUCGCAUGCAUACGUAUACACUCAUAUAUACAUAUAGUUGCACUUUUGUAUAUAUAUUAAUAUUAUAAUUCUAAUUAAUUUGCCUUCUUUAUUGGUUAAGGUAAUCAAAUAUUAUUUAGAACUCUCAUUAUGUGUACUUAUUUUUUAUUUUUUACGAAGGAAUUUAUUGUUUAAUUAUUAGAACAUUACAUAAAACUAUUUCAGUCACUAAUCGUGCCUUUGUGGCUAUCAAAGCUUGUGUGAUAAUAGCUAGAUGCAUGACAAAAGAAAGAAAUGACCAUAUGGAUUAUAUAUUCUAUUUCAUUGCAUUACUCGGGCUCAAAACAAAACAAGUGAUGAGUUUUGAUGUUUAAUAUCCCGUCCUUCACACGUUGAAAGAUUAUAACUAUAUUUGAGUGGAAUAAAGUAACAUAACUCCUACAUAUAGAGUAUUAAUAUAUCCUAUCAUGCUACUUAUGAGAAAUUAAGUAUCAUGUUAGUUAACUAAUAUAAAUUAAAAUGUAAUGCAUGCUAAUAUUAUCAGUACUUGGAGUAAUAUUAUUCAUGCAGUAACCAGGCAUUUCCUUCUAUUAUAGAGAAAUGCUAAGCCUAGCUACAAGCCAAAAAUGUUGUAGGUCUACAACCCCUAAUCUAAGGUUGUAAUCCUCCCCCUAGGGUUUAUACAGCCCUUUUUGGGUUUUAGUAUCAAAAAAAGAGAAUGAUAUGACUAGAGUAAAAAAGUUAAUUAGCUUUUAGAUGUAUAAGUUGUAAGAUUACAACCAAAAGGACACUUCUAGAGAACAAAAGAUGUUAGUUUUAUUCAUUUAAUUAACUUAUAUAUAUUAUAUAACUUUGAGGAUUAUCAUGUGAAUGUAAAAUCAACAUACAUACGAGAAUCAGACGAUUGUGCAUUGAACUUGUCAUGUAUAUGUCGCCAAUGAUUUAAUGGCCACCGAUAGAUGUCGGUAUCCACUGAUGCGCCUUGAGCGACUAACGAACUAUUCAUGCCGUAUAAUAUCAGCUGGUAGAAUUCAAUUUGAAAGGUGAGUGUGCUAUAAGGGCACAAUGCAUAGAAUUUAUGAUCUUCCAUUAAUACUGAAAACUAAGUUAGCUACAAAUGUUCAAUGUGGAUCAAUUUGGUUUCUGGUAUGCAUGCACUAAGGCGAACAUUCAAAUUAAUAAAUACUCCAACUCUUUUUUAUCAUCAUGCUGAAAAAGUUUGUUCGGUUCAUGAAAGGUGCAUCAUGUUUUGCUGUAGUAUUCCCUUAAUUGUGUCUACUUUAUCAGAAGAGGACAUAAAGCAAUAAUAAGCUCUUUGAAAAAUUAAGUUCGAGAAACAAAAAAUUCUUUUGUAAUUUCUUGAAAUAUGACUAGUUAAUAUAUGUAUAUGCUGGAAUCAAUAAGAAAACUUUGAGCAAAAAUGAUGCUUUUAAGAUGUUUCACUAGCAUAAUGCCAAAUUAAGUUGGAGAUAGAUGCUCAAGAAAAAAUUUCAAUAAUGUACAUAACAUUUCAAAAAACAUUUCUGAAUUAUAUCUAUUUUAGUACAAGCAUCAUGCUUGGUUUCGUAAAAGAUGGAGCAAAUCCAAAGCUAAUAUAUACCUAUAUAUAUAUAUAGAUGAUCAAAAGUGAGGAUUAUUAUUUUAAUGCAAUGUAGAAAACCAAAGGUCAAUUUUAAACUCUUUGGUUUCUCUAAGGUUUUAAACUCAAUUAGUUUAUCCCAAGUUUAAUGGAAUUACAUUCUCUAAUACUACUAAUAUAUAUAUAUAUAUAUAUAUAUAGAAUUGGAUUAGACCGAUUCAAAUAGAGCAAACUAAAUACUACUGUUAUAUAUUGUUAUAUGAAUUUAGAAAAGCGAGAUUACUUCAUAUAUUUGUGAUUUUGGAUGUCAUGAAUGUUAUGAAUUUGGAUUCGCGUAUUUUCCACAUUUUGCAUAUCUGAAUUUGUAUAUAUUGACUUUAAGACAGAUCUGGUGAUAAGUAAGAACAAUAUUUUCAAAGAUAUAACCCUAAUGACUCUCUAGGAGAGUUGACAAACAGGGUUGGCUUUUAGGUAUUGUUGACAGGAGGCUUCUUUGGGUCCAUUAGGAAGAAUUGCGUAGAAGACGGUUUCUAGCGUGAUCGUAUCAUGGAGAUCUCUUGAUGAUCAUCUGUUUUCACUAACCAGUCCUUUUCACUGACAAUUUCUCUUGAGGAUUUUGUUUUCUCUUCAAUAGUCUUUUUGCUUCUUGUUCUUUCUACAAGCAAUAUAUAGAAAACAAAUAUAUAUAUAUAANCUUUUUGCUUCUUGUUCUUUCUACAAGCAAUAUAUAGAAAACAAAUACAUAUAUAAAACUGUACACGGUACAGUAAAACCCUAGUAGAGGUGCAUUAUAUAUAUAUAUAUAUAUAUAUAUAUUGUAUGAUCAUAUUUUGACUUGGUAUAUAUGCAAGAGGAGAUUGGAAGAUUCAGAGUUGGGAGCUUUUGGAGUCUCCCAUGAUUCCUCACGAGACCCAUUUUCAAAGUCUUAGCAUUCCAGAGAGCUAAGAUUAACAUAGGUGUGAGAAAGUUGAAAGUGUGAUGGAUGCAUGAGUGGUAGAGAGAGAAUAGGUGUGGUGGACCACGAAUAUAUAUAUAUAUGAACCAAAUAGAAAGACCAAGGGUGCAAUGGUUCCACACCCAACUUGUGUUGGCCCCAUUUAAUGCAAAAAGGAUUACUCUAGGCAUUGUGAGGUGAGCUCACCAUGAGAGAGAGUGAGAGAGAGACACACACACACACAUAGAAAGAGAGAGAGAGAGAGAGAGAGAGAGAGAGAGAGAGAGAGAGAGAGAGAGGUGAAGGGCUUAGAUGUCACGGGUUUCACUUGACUCUUAGCUUGCUACAUGCAACCAUAUAUAUCUACCCAAGAAUACAUAUAGUACUACAGUGCUCCAACUAUAUAAAAACCAGGUUGCAAAGUAAUUCCAGAGGCAUCUUACAAAGUCAUCUCUUCUUCUUUACACAAGAAAACAAAUAGCAUCAAUCAACGCAUGCAUCUGUAUAUUAAGGUAGGUUUUGGAAUGAGGUGUGUACAUGAGAGUGAAAACCAUAGUGGAAGAUACAAAGAAACCAAAAAAUUAUAUAUAAAAAGAAGGGCAUGGAUGGAGGGGUAAAUUGCACCACUAGUCCCUAAACAUUUUAACAACACUUUACUUUCAUCCUUGAACUUUUAACUUGAACAUUCCACUCUAUAUAUACUGGUGAUCAAAUAUUAAUUCACUUUAACCUUACCGUAAUUAUCUGUUCUCGAAGAAAUAGUUAGUUAUUUUCUACAUCUGGUGCAUCCGUAGAUCCAUGAACAAUGCAUCGAUACAUGAUACAUCGCCUUCAAUUCCUUCUCUCAUAGUGAUCCAAUUCCUAUCACUCAUUGAUCAGUUGAGGUCAUUUCUCUACUUCGAAAUUGGAUAGUUAAAUCAAAUUAAACUACAAGAUGAAUAGAAAGUUAAUGAAUUCGUAGUGCUUGGAUGGACCGAGGAAUCAGUUGCAAGCUUCUUUUUUUUUUUUGCAAUUAAUACAAAGAUAAAAUGGACAUUUUUGAAAGUUCACAGAGUAUCUCGAAUUUCUAACUAAAAAGAUAACGUAGCAAAGUGAAACUUUUCCUUUUUGUUUUUAUUUUGUUUUUUCUUUUGACAAUCUGGAGUUUGGCCCCUAGCUACAACCCUACCGAGAGUCUCCGUACCAGGAACUCGAACCCACGAACCCUCAAACCCGGCCCACUCAGAUGCCUUAUCGUUCAGAUACCAAUAGUUUCAGUAACAAGAAAUGCUAAGUUUACAAUGAAAAAAAACUAUAAUCUCUACAACCUCUCAUCCAAGAGUCGCAGGAUUUACAAAGAAUUUUAUAGUUAAUAUAUCCGAGGUUUCAAAUUCGAAACCUAGUUGCUUCACGUUUACAGCUAAAUUCAUUACGUAAAAGUAAACAAAACAAGAUAAUUCGCUACGUAACUUUCUCUCUCUAAUUAAAAAGAAAAAAAUGAUAAGACAUGUAUUAAAUGAAAGUAGUAGUAGGAUUACACCCCAGAGUGGGCUGUAAACCUAUUACUGCUCUUAAGUAAUAAAACUGUGGGCUAGAUCAUGUUCUAGAAUUGCAAAUUAACCACAAGAAAGAGGAGGGACCCAAAAGAGAAGCAUGCAUGACAAGAAAGACAGAUUUGCAGUAGAGAGGGUAGAGACAAGAAUAGAAGCAUUAGCCAAUCACCUCUGAUAGGGGGCUACCGCCAAGUUGUCCUCCUCCAUUGCUUGGUCCCUUUCUCAUCUUCAACUCCCUCAAUGCACCCUCAUCUCUAUAUGCAUAUGAGAACCUCAUUUAACCCCUCCACAUAACCUUUUGCCUUAAUUACUAGUUGGAGUUAUAUACAGAAAGAUUUAUAUACUUUGAGAUAGAUUGAUGGAUCAAUUGUAAAAAGAGGUGGCAAUGUUUUCGGUAGGUGUAGUAGUCCAGUAGCAAUCUCAUUUAUUACUCUAGUACCAUUUUUCUUCUUCUUCCGGGUUGUGUAAGUUCACCCACUCAUCUUUCCUUCUUCACCACUUGCACAAAUAUUUGAGGAAGAAUUAAACCACUUGAGGGCAAAUACUUUAAAGGGUAAUCCAAAGGGUCGAAGAGCGGGCGAUCGACGAUAUAUUCUAAGAUCUCAUCGGUUUAUGGCCAUCGAGUCGGCCAUGAACGGAGAAGAGAGCAGGGGCGACGGCCACGAGAACGACCUCGUGAUGCCGGGCUUCCGGUUCCAUCCUACCGAAGAAGAGCUAAUUGAUUUCUACCUUCGGCGGAAGGUCGAGGGUAAACGCUUUAACGUGGAGCUCAUCACCUUCCUCGAUCUCUAUAGCUACGACCCGUGGGAACUUCCGGGUUUGAUCCCUCUCCCUUCUUUCCUCAACCUCUUCCACUCCUAAUUAGUUCGGAUGCAUAUAUAAGACCUGAAGUAGCUCUUUGCAUGCUGUGAAUUUAAUUCAACUUAGUUGAUCCUUUUUUCGGCAAUCUAAUUCUUUUACAACAUGAACUUGUUUUAAUUUUCAGCAUUGGCAAUAAUUGGAGAUAAGGAGUGGUUCUUUUAUGUUCCUAGAGAUCGAAAGUACAGGAACGGCGAUCGACCCAACCGAGUCACUCCGACGGGUUAUUGGAAGGCGACUGGGGCCGAUCGGAUGAUUCGAGCCGAAAAUAAUCGGCAAGUUGGAUUGAAAAAGACCCUUGUUUUCUACUCUGGGAAAGCCCCUAAGGGUAUCAGGAGCACCUGGAUCAUGAAUGAGUACCGUUUGCCAAAGAGCGAAACAGAUCUGUAUCAGAAGGUAAAUCUUGUCAUUAUAUAGUCCUCUAAUAUCAGGUCUGAGUUUUUAAGGUAGAAGAAAUUGGAACUCUAGGGUUUUUGGUAUCUCUAGUUGAUGAGUAUAAGAUCUAAAGUAAGAAUAUGAUUCAUGAUAAAAUAGCAAUUAAUUAAACAAGUUUUCUGAGACAUCUUUCCAUUCUUAUUUUGCCACAUGUUUAUCUCUUCUAUCUUUUGUUAAUCUUUUGCACAAACAUGUGCUGCCACUUAAUUUGUUAAAAGAUACUGGAUUUGUUGGAAAAAUAUACUGCACAAGAGAAGCUGAGAUUUUCCGUGAUCUUUCUCCUAGGUUCUGCAUACUUGUAUGGUUACUUUUAGUUUAGUAACUAGGGUUUGGUAUAGAAUUAAUAUAUUUCAGUCCCUGCCAUAUAAAAAAUCCUCUUUAAAAAUAAAGUGACUCCACAUGUGUUCCUGUUGCACUUCUUUUAUUCCUUGAUCUAAUUACGAGAAAAAGCAGCAUAUAUAUGGCAUGCAUCUCUACCUUUUUCCUUUAUGUCUCCCUUCCCUUUCCUCUUUGCUUCUUUUGCCCCAAAAUAUCUUUCAAUUUGUAUCGAUGAAUUCCACAGUUUACGCAUGAUUUCUUCUUCGUUCUACUUAAUUUUAGAUUGAACUUUUCCUCCUUGAUCCCUCUCUUGUACUCCUUAAUUAUGAUUGUAGCUUUCUCCUCUUUUGAAGAAUUCUUAUGUUAUAUAUACUUGUAUUAUGUUAUUCAGAAACUUUCUCCUCUAAUUAGUAUUAUCCUUGUUAUCUUCUUUUUAGAUCUAUCAAUUAUCUAUCCUUUUUGAAGGAUCUCUCUUACUUCUUCUUUCUAAAUCUCCUUGUGUUAUUCUCCUUAUGUGAAUUCCAUCAUGUUUAAUACACUAGCAAAUUGAAUUGCUCCUUAAUUUCACAUCUUAAUACUUGUUGAGCCUGAUUCUUCUAGUUCUUUUCAUUGAAGAAACAAGUGAUCAAUUCCUUAUUAGCAGGCCGAAAUUUCGCUAUGCCGAGUCUACAAGAGAUCCGGGAACGACGACUACUCCCAGCUCACUAGCACACUCUCUGCAAAGGCAUCUACCUCUCGAGGGAGCCUAGCCAAUAGAAAGCACCUCACAUCUCACCAUCAAGUUGUGAAUUUCGCGAUACAUGAUCAAGGUGAAAAUUCAUCGCUAAAAAUCCCCGAGAUUGCUGUGGGAAGCAAAACCAACUUGCCAACAUCUAUGCUACCAAAACCAAAAGUCUACAGAUCGACGGCCUCAGUUGCUUCAUUGAGCUCAACUACCACGACUGAAGAAGAUGGCCUUUCCUUCUACCAUUCGACGAACACGAGCGGUUUAAUCCCUCCAUACUCCCUCCUCAAUUUAUCCACUUCUACAAUGACCUCAACUCCAAUUGAUGAGCUAAAUAAGAUAGUUGGAUACGAUCAAACAUACAACAACCAACCCAACCAUUUCCAUUCAUUGACACCGCAAUCUCAGUUGCUUCCAUUUAAUUCGCUGCCUGUAUCGUUCUCGACCGUUUCAGAUAAGCUUUGGGACUGGAACCCUCUUCCGGAUGUUGGGAGGGACUAUACUAGUUUUAAGUGAUUAUCAACAAGUACCAUGAAUUAUAUAUAUAUAUAUAUAUAUAUAUGCACCUAUUAAUGGCCUCCAUUUUUAGGAUGUAUGUCUAGUAUUAUUAAAGAUUGUGCUAGUGUGUUUAAGAACUCAAGAUUGUAAUUGCAUUAACCUUUUAUGAACUUACAAUAUAGCUAGUGAUAUUUCUAUUGUUAAGCUGAACAACUUUGAAAUUUUAGUCAUGUUUCACUUAGGUUCUUGAACUUAAUUUUAACUUUUAUAUUCAACAUCCCAAACUUUCAAGUGNUAAUAAUAAUAAUAAUAAUGGUGACCUACUGCAGUCACAUGACUCCCAUGCAUGCGUGAAUGAUAAUUCUCAACCAAUUCUCUAUACUUCCACAACAGAAUCUCUGCAGGUCUUCCACCAAUCAUGGAAUCAUUAUUUCAUGCAUGCUCAGAAGGUCAAACAUAUAUUACCAUCCAAAACUGUUCAGAAGGUCAAAACAUGAACAUCCAAAACAAUAAUUAAUAUUCCCAAGUGCAAGCCAGCAGAAAGGGUCAAUUAAUAUUGCACUAUAUAUGUACUUUACUUGGUCCUCCAGUUUAUAGCUUCAAUAUUGAUAAACACUCUAAUUUCAAAAUGUUUCAAUUUAUAGUUCCUGCUAUGAACUUUUUGUUAUGACAAGACUAACUGCUUGUCUCUGCUGUGCUAAAUGUUUAUGCAUGCACCACGAAUUCAUUAGUCUUCCAUGCGUCCAUCUCAUACUUUAUGAAUCCAAGCAUCAAACCAAAAACAAAAGGCUGUUGAUUUGAUGAUGUGAUUGAAAAUAUGAGAUAGGAUUAAUGACCAAUAGAUGUGUAAUGCAUCUACAUAUAUAAAUAUAUAUAUAAUCCGGCUGGGAUACUAUCGAUCGAUAGCACCAAGAAUUUGGUGCUAUCGAGUUUUUCACUGUUAGAUUUAACCCUUUGAUUAUUUUUAUCCAUUAGAUUAUACUAUUCAACCAUGCAACCACUCACUAAACCCUAGAGAGCCCACAUCAUUCUAACCAUACAUUUCUCAAUCCAAGGGCUAAAAAUCUAAUAGCACAAAUAGUUUCGUACUAUUGAUAGUAUUCCAACCUAGUUAUAUAUAUAUAUAUAUAUAUAUAUAUAUAUAGAGCUAGGCUGGUAUACUAUCGGUAGUACGGAGGCCUCCGUGCUACCAAGUUGUUUUCAAUGAUGCGGCUUCCAAAUCGACGAUCGGUUUUGUUAGACUUGAUCUACACUAUUGAAAGUAUUUGGAAAUUAAAUUUUAUAAUUUUUUGACAUCAUUUGGCUAGUGAUUAAAAGGUUUCAAAAUUGAUAAUUUUAAUGGUAGAUUUGAUGUGUUUGUGAAUUUAACGGUGUAAAACAAUCCAAAUUUGAUGAAAUUUUUAUAGAAUUUUUUUUUCACUAUUUAGAGUAAGAUCAGUAUCUCUGAUUUUAAAUUCAAGUCUUUUAUCAUCAUUUUUUAUGAGAUUUUUAUUUUCAGUCGUUCAUUUUUAGACUACUUGUUUGAUAGGUAAAUGAUGUCGAAAAAUUAUGAAAUUUAGUUUUCAAAUACUUUCAAUAGUGUAGAUUAAGUCUAACGGAGCCGAUCGUCGAUUUGGAAGCCGCAUCAUUGAAAAUAACUUGGUAGCAUGGAGGCUUCCGUGCUACCGAUAGUAUACCAGCCGGACUAUAUAUAUAUAUAUAUAUAUAUAUAUAUAUAUAACUAGGUUGGAAUACUAUCAAUAGUACGAAACUAUUUGUGCUAUUAGAUUUUUAGCCCUUGGAUUGAGAAAUGUAUGGUUAGAAUGAUGUGGGCUCUCUAGGGUUUAGUGAGUGGUUGCAUGGUUGAAUAGUAUAAUCUAAUGGAUAAAAAUAAUCAAAGGGUUAAAUCUAACAGUGAAAAACUCGAUAGCACCAAAUUCUUGGUGCUAUCGAUCGAUAGUAUCCCAGCCGGAUUAUAUAUAUAUUUAUAUAUGUAGAUGCAUUACACAUCUAUUGGUCAUUAAUCCUAUCUCAUAUUUUCAAUCACAUCAUCAAAUCAACAGCCUUUUGUUUUUGGUUUGAUGCUUGGAUUCAUAAAGUAUGAGAUGGACGCAUGGAAGACUAAUGAAUUCGUGGUGCAUGCAUAAACAUUUAGCACAGCAGAGACAAGCAGUUAGUCUUGUCAUAACAAAAAGUUCAUAGCAGGAACUAUAAAUUGAAACAUUUUGAAAUUAGAGUGUUUAUCAAUAUUGAAGCUAUAAACUGGAGGACCAAGUAAAGUACAUAUAUAGUGCAAUAUUAAUUGACCCUUUCUGCUGGCUUGCACUUGGGAAUAUUAAUUAUUGUUUUGGAUGUUCAUGUUUUGACCUUCUGAACAGUUUUGGAUGGUAAUAUAUGUUUGACCUUCUGAGCAUGCAUGAAAUAAUGAUUCCAUGAUUGGUGGAAGACCUGCAGAGAUUCUGUUGUGGAAGUAUAGAGAAUUGGUUGAGAAUUAUCAUUCACGCAUGCAUGGGAGUCAUGUGACUGCAGUAGGUCACCAUUAUUAUUAUUAUUAUUAUUUUUAUUAUUUUUAUUAUUUUUAUAUAUACAGAUAUAUGUUGUCAUUUGUUUGCAUGGGCUACUGAGACAAAACUAAGUGAUCUGUACUCUGUCUCUUUGUUAUAUACGGCAGUACAUGUUUGAGACAAAACUUGAAAGAUAUAGCAGAUAUGUAGUACUGGAGCUGACCUUGCACUUUCCAAAACAAUUUGCAUUAUAUAUAGUUAACUAACUUUUUUGGUGAAUAAUGCAGCAGAUAAGCUUCAUCUUUAGCUGUGACACUGUUAGAAUUUAAAAUAUUCCUACAUAUAUAUAACGUAUAAUAUGACUAAAUAUUUUAACCUAACUAGAAAAUUUUGGGUGUUUGCUAAGCCAAGAGGUUAAGAAAGUUAAGUGCAUUGAAAAGUACUUUAUUUUACUCCUUGUCUUUAUAAUCUAGUGAUUAUACCUACAUUGCCUACAUUUGGUGUGUCCAUAUAAUUAUCAUGCACCAUGUAUACAUCCAUCGACAUUCCAUCCAAUAUUUCAAACCCUAUCGCCAUUGAGUUGCAGCUUUUUAUCUACUUAGAAUUGGAUGAUGGGAUUGAGUGUAUGAUAUGGAUUAAAUUAAAGACGAUGAAUCCAUCGUGAAUGGGCGUAUAGAUGUACAGAUGUAAGCAAUUUUUUUCCAGAAAAUUAGAUCAUGAUAUAAUAUGGACUAAAGUAAAGCACUUUUAAAAGUUUGCGGUAUCGAAUGGCGAACUUGUUAUAUAUAUAUAUAGAUUAUGAUUCAUGUCCAGUAACUUAAAUUUUGGUUAUAGGAUUUCCAUAGUUCAACUUUAUAUUUGUGUAAAAGUAUGAAAAACUUAUAACAGAAAUCCACACAACGCUAGAAUAAUUUUAUUCUGUUGUAUAUAUCAAUUUAGUUAUAUCAAAAAUUAAAUUAUUGCAAAAUAUAUUUUAUUGCAAUAGUUUGUGUCGUUGUGAUGAUGCAAAUCAUAUUAUUAAAGCAUAUAUAUAACAAGAUUUAUAGCAAGGAUUUGCAACAUUCUACUGCAACCAAUAGUUAUCAAUUGCAAUAGUAUUUAUUGUUGAAAAAUAACGAAUUUCUAGUAGUGCACUUAUGGUUAAAAAUUUCUACAGCCCUUUCACUACAACAGAAUUAGGUUAUAGGGACACAAGUUUGGGACACUUUUGAGUAAGUGUCCUAUUUAUCCUAAAACUUAAAAAAAACAUCUACUAAUGCCUAAAUAUAAAGCCCAAUCAAACCAAAAAUAAAAGAUUACUCUACUCAACUCACCACACCCAGUCCAUUUGGCCCGAUUACAAACAGAAAAGAAAAAAAAAAGAAAAAUCAAUUACCAUCUUUUCUUCUCUCUUCACUCAAUCCACUGAAAUUCUAGACAAAGAGCAUUUCCUGUCGUCCUCCUCCGCCACCGCAGCCAACGAGAUAGAGUUUCGAUGGUUGCUAAAUGCUUAAAUAAGUGUUGGUAAAUUAGCAGCACUCUUUUAGGUUAUAGCGACACUCUUUAACUGUCACUAUAUACCUAGCGACCCCACAUAUAGCAACACUUUUUAAAAGUGUCGGUAAUUUUAGCUAGCAGCACUUUUUUGACAUGUACCUACAUUUAAAAGUAUCACUAUAGACCGUUUUUGUUGUAGUGUUUCAAUCACUAGUUAAAAUAUAAUAUCGAAAAGUUGCGAAAUUUAUUUUUUAGAUAUUUCAAAUACUCUAAACCAAGUUUAAUGAAGUUAAUCAUCAAUUCCAUCAUCGAAAAACAAACUUUGGAGCACGGAGGUCUCCGUGCUUCUAAAUUCUAGUAAGCCUCUCUAACAUGGUAUCAUAGCGGACGGUUUGAAAUUUUUUGUGAUGCACAUAAAAUUAGGAGUAUGGAUUUGGCACAUGGAAAUCCUAAUUAGUUUUUUAACUAACGGAGAUUAUUCGGAGACGUGAGUUUGUGUUAGUAUAGAUUGUAAUGUUAAAAGUACUAAUGAAAGUUAGAAAAUUAUUUAAAAAUUAAAAUGAUUAAAUGGUUGUAUUUUUUUCACAAGAUUAAUUACUGAUAAGAAAAGAUAUGUCUUUUUAUUGCAAAAAAAUGUGCCCUUUUCAUGGAAAAAUAUGUCUCUUGAUGGAGAGUUGUAUCUCUUUAGUAUUUAUGAAAGGAUGUGUCUCUUCAAUAUUUGUGAAAAGAGUGUGUCUCUUCAAUAUUUACAAAAGAAUGUGUGUUUUUGUUAUAAAGAGACGUGAAUACUAAGGAUGGAGUGUGUCCUUUCACCGUAAUCAGUUAUGUACAUCCUAUAAGUAUAGGGUGUUUGAAGUCUUCAAAGGUAAUAAGGCAAAUCCUUUCUUCUUUCUAAUAUUUCACACUAAUUUUUUAAAAAGUUCUUGAGAGAAAAUCUUCAAGUGUAUUAUGUGCACGCUUUUGGAGGUCUUAUCGUACCCUGGAGAUGAAUUCCUUUAAUUCGACAGCGCAUGCAGUUUCAAGUGGAGCAAAUAUUACCUUAAAGAAAGUGUUGAUAUACGUCUCAAGACUAUAAUAAACUUGAUUUACAUUUACUCUCCCUAACAGUUUGAUGCAUGGAUUCUAAUUAGAAAAGGUGCAAAAAAGAAAAGGAAAGAAGAAAAAAGGGAAAAAAGGCAUAUGAAGAGCAUGUACUUGAUAAAGAGAAAUGCUGAGUCUACAACUUGUAAUCUUUACCACCCUUAAUCCAAUAGUUUAAAGGUUUAAUUAAUCAAAUCCUUUUUGUAUUUUAAUUUCAAAAAAAUGAUAAAAUUAGUGUAGUAAUUUUUGAGAAAUAGGUAGCACGCUAUCCGCUUUGUUUAUUUUAUUUAGAAAUAAACUUGGCUGGAAAUGUGAAUCAAUUAGAAUUCGAACUUGGGUCUCGGGUACCAACCAUCAAGUCCUUUGCAACUAGGAUUGUAGACCUAACAUUGCCCUUCAAUAAAAGCUAAUAGCGUUUUGUUGUAGAGGAUUAGUUUUAAGGACAAGCUAGCUAACAUGUGAAAGGAAAAGAUUGUUAGAAAUUGCAUGCAUGUUAAGAAAUAGUGUCACAAGAAACAAAAAUCAACAAAAAAAAAAAGAAAGAUAAUUGAUAUCUAGCUAGUACUAUGUUCAGAACAAAUGGGUCUUAAUAAAUAUGUCACAUCUUUGAGCUUAUACAAGCUUAGAUUAGCAUAAUUACACUGAAUGUAAAAUGAGAUCUUCGGCUCCAAAAACAAAAACUUAGGGAUUAAUUAAGCUGGAAGCUCUCAAUUUUUUUUUUCUUUCUUGCUUCUAUUUUUGCUAGUGCAGUAGAAAAAAGUAGUAAAAAAAGGAAUAAUAUUGCUAGUGCCUUUUGGAGCAGCAUAUUCAAACAAGCAUGCAUGUAUACAUGUGGCUUCAAAUAGGCUAAACAAGCAGCUCUUUGGACACUAGAGAUUGGACAAAAUGAACUCCAAAGAAAAAAUUAAUUAUGAAACCAUAACUGCUAGGUUAAUUUGCUAUGGGUACUUUUGAAAAUCCCCUAAGAGAUCAUUUGAUAUAUAUGCUAAGUAUCAUACAAUUAAAGUUCAUUGAUUGGUUCAUACAAGCAUCCCUGAGACACCAUCACAGUGUUUUUGGGGGGCUAGAUGAGGGGUAACAUAAACAUUACUCUUAAAAGAAAAAAAAAAAAAGAAGAAAAAAAAAAAAGAAGAAGUAAUGCAUGCUCUUGUAUAUAAGCUGUUUCUGUGUUGGUAUCCAUGGUAUGGAAAAUUUUCAUUACUUAAUGCGUACAGUUAAAAAAUACAAUAUUAUUAUUUACCAACACAUUAAUAAACUAUGUGUAAAAAAUUUAAAGGUAUUAAAUAUGCCCUGCCACAGAUCUUCAAAAUAUUGUCAUUAUAGUUUGUUGAUCUAUUGCUACACAUAUACUAUAAUCUUUAAUUAAUUUGCGCAGAUAGUGUAAAGCACCAUUCCAAGAUAUCAACAUUUUGUUGGAGAAAUAAUUUUAGUGGCCAUUCCUCCGAUUGAGAUCGCCAAAUACACUGCCCACCACAUAUAGAACUCAAACCGUAUAGGGCUCAAAUCUCAAAGCAAUACUAGACUAGUGGAUUGUGGCAAUCUCGAAACAUUUUGUUUAACCAGGUUAAAUUGCAUUGUUGGUUCUCAAACUAUGAGACGCGUGACACUUUAGUUCUCGAAUUUUAAUUUAUUAUAAUUUUGGCCUAAAAUUUUGUGAAUUAAUGGUUGCAAUCAAUUCUCAUAGUGCAAUUUAGUUAACUCAAUACAAAACAGUGAUGUGGCGUUAACGUGACUGUAAGAUAGUAAUAUUAUAAUUGAUGAUUAAUUUGGAAAUAAUUAAAAGGUUAUAUAACUAUUAUAUUAUCGACGUAUCAUUAUUCAGCGAAUAAAUUUGCACCGUAAAACUUGAAUGCACCAAUAGAGAAAAUUCGAAUUAAUAUUUGAUGAUGAAAACGUCAAGUCACUCCUUGUUUUUGAAUGCAAAAAGUACAGUCUAGCAUUGUUUCCUCUCCAUUGAAUUCCUGCGGUGGACAGACAGCCGGUACUAACUGACUUGCGAAGAUGCCGUCCGCAGGCAGCAGUUGAAGCAAAAGGCCGUCGGUCAGGUCGGCGUCCCACCCGCCGCGCGGUUUUAAUUGACAUGAAAGAAGAUGGGGCCCACGUACUACUUUGACCGUUGACCGUGAAUGUUCGUCGCACGCGUUGACCGUUCGUUGACCGAUGGAAAGGUCUAAAAAGUAUUUUCAAACCAAUUGAGUUAUUUUCCAGAGAUCCACAAGUCCAAUCAUGAUUUUCUAAAAUUAUUUUUAUUAUAUUAUAUUUAAUAAAAAUAUUUAAUUGGCUUGUAAAAAAAAUAAUGUGAUGUAGUUGUUAGUUGUUACACUGAUGACCACCUCACUGACGCGAGGAAUUCUAUAUUAUCACACUUACACCACGUCAUUAAUAACAAGUCAAUUAUAUUUCUUUUUUUCAAACAAAAGUACAAUAAAAAUAUUUUUUUAUAAUCAUGAUAGGAUAUAUACCCCUAAAAAAAAAUAUUUGAUUGAUUUAUUACGUCAGGUUACCAAUAUAGCCGUUGCAUUAUAAAAUUUUUCUACUUACACGCGGCUAGCUUUACGUGACUGGCACGUGCAGAGACAACAGUUGCUUUAAUUAAUUUGUAUCUUUUGGGCCUUGGGCUCCGUUUGGUAAAUUUAUUGGGCCUCUACACUAUAAACGCCGUGUUAUGGGUGCAUGUUUGUGGCUCUUAAAUUUUCUAUUUUCUCUGUUUUUAAGAAGCAUGUAGAUUUACUCAGCGCGCCCUUUAAUUAGAGUAACGUUAGAGGAAGAAGGUGUACACGCAACAACUGACUAUCUUAAUUAGUGGUGGUUUAUACUAUAUAUUAGAGGAUUCCAUUGUGGGGCGACUCCUAUAAUUACGUUAUAUUUUAGAUACUUUAAUUUGUUGAAUGAUUAGAACAUGCUGUUACUUUAUGUUCUUAUUUAUAAUAUAGUAUUUGCCAAUUUUUUUAAAAAAAAUAUAGUUUAUGCACGAGUGGAACGUGUGUAUAUAUAUAUAGUCCGGCUACUAUGCUAUCGAUAGUAACAAGUCCUUGGUACUUUGGAGUUUUUUACCGUUAAAUCUACCCUUUUAUCAUUUUCAUCCGUUAAAUUAUACUAUUAAACCAACCACUCACUCAACCCUAAGGGACCACUAUCAAUUUAACCGGGGACCACUAUCACCCUAACCGCACAUCCUGUCAUCCAACGGUCGAAAACUCAAUUGUACCAAGGGCUUGGUACUAUUGAUAGUAUAGUAGUAUAAUUCUAUAUAUAUAGAGAGAGAGAGAGAUCGAGUUGAGCUAGAAUACUCUCAAAAGCACCAUGAAGGUGGUGCUUUUAAGUUUUUAGCCAUUGGAUGAAGAGAUAUGAGGUUGAGAUGAUGGUGAUAGGUGGUCGUAGGUGGAAUAGUGUUUGAUCUAAAGGCUAUUAGUAAUCAAGAAGUAGAUCCAAGAGCUAGAAACUUAGAAGCACCAAGGGGUUGGUGCUUCUAAAAGUAUUCUAGCUCAAUUAUAUAUAUAUAUAUAUAUAUAUAUAUAUAGNAUCAAAUAUACCAUGCCGCAUGUCUCCAAAGUAUUGUCAUUAUAGUUUGUUGAUCUGUUGCUAUGCAUAUACUAUAAUCUUUAAUUAAUUUGCGCAGAUAGUGUAAAGCACCAUUCCAAAAUAUCAACAUUUUGUAGGAGAAAUAAUUUUAGUGGCCAUUUCUCCGAUUGAGAUCGCCAAAUACACUGCCCACCACAUAAAGAACUCAAACCAUAUAGGGCUCAAAUCUCAAAGCAAUACUAGACUAGGGGAUUGCGGUAAUCUCAAAUUAUGAGAAGCGUGACACUUUAGUUCUCGAAUUUUAAUUUAUUAUAAUAUUUUGGCCUAAAAUUUUCUAGAUUAAUGAUUCCAAUCAACUCUCAAAGUGCAAUUUAGUUAACUCAAUACUAAAUAGCGAUGUGGCGUUAACGUGACUGUAAGAUAGUAAUAUUAUAAUUGAUGAUUAAUUUGGAAAUAAUUAAAAGGUUAUAUUACUAUUAUAUUAUCGACGUAUCGUUAUUCAGCGAAUAAAUUUGCACAGUAAAACUUGAAUGCACCAAUAGAGAAAAUUCGAAUUGAUAUUUGAUGAUGAAAAACGUCAAGUCACUCCUUGUUUUUGAAUACAAAAAGUACAGUCUAGCAUUGUUUCCUCUCCAUUGAAUUCCUGCGGUGGACAGACAGCCGGUACUAACUGACUUGCGAAGAUGCCGUCCGCAGGCAGCAGUUGAAGCAAAAGGCGGUCGGUCAGGCCGGCGUCCCACCCGCCGCGCGGUUUUAAUUGACAUGAAAGAAGAUGGGGCCCACGUACUACUUUGACCGUUGACCGUGAAUGUUCGUCGCACGCGUUGACCGAUCGUUGACCGAUGGAAAGGUCUAAAAGUAUUUUCAAACCAAUUGAGUUAUUUUCCAGAGAUCCACAUGUCCAAUCAUGAUUUUUUAAAAUUAUUUUUAUUAUAUUAUAUUUAAUAAAAAUAUUUAAUUGGCUUGUAAAAAAAAUAAUGUGAUGUAGUUGUUAGUUGUUACACUGAUGAUCACCUCACUUACGCGAUGAAUUCUACACUAUCACACUUACGCCACAUCAUCAAUAACAAGUCAAUUACACUCCUUUUUUUUCAAAUAAAAGUACAACAAAAAUAUUUUUUUACAAUCACGAUGGGACAUAUACUACUAAAAAAAAAUAUUUGAUUAAUUUGUUAUGCCACGUUACCAAUAUAGCCGUUGCAUUAUAAAAUUUUUCUACUGACACGCGGCUAGCUUUACGUGACUGGCACGUGCAGAGACAACAGUUGCUUUAGUUUGUAUCUUUUGGGCCUUGGGCUCCGUUUAGGUAAAUUUAUUGGGCCUCUACACUUUAAAUGCCGUGUUAUGGGUGCAUGUUUGUGCCUCUUAAAUUUUCUAUUUUCUCUGUUUUUAAGAUGCAUGUAGAUUUACUCAGCGCACCCUUAAUUAGAGUAACGUUAGAGGAAGAAGGUGUACACGCAACAACUGACUAUCUUAAUUAGUGGUGGUUUAUACUGUAUAUUAGAGGAUUCCAUUGUGGGGCGACUCCUAUAAUUACGUUAUAUUUUAGAUACUUUAAUUUGUUGAAUGAUUAGAACAUGCUGUUACUUUAUGUUCUUAUUUAUAAUAGAGUAUUUGCCAAUUUUUUUUAAAAAAAUAUAGUUUAUGCACGAGUGGAACGUGUGUAUAUAUAUAUAUAUAGUCCGGCUACUAUACUAUCGAUAGCAACAAGCCCUUGAUACUUUUGAGUUUUUUACUGCUAAAUCUACCCUUUGAUCAUUUCCAUCCGUUAGAUUAUACUAUUAAACCAACCACUCAUUCAACCCUAAGGGACCACUAUCAAUUUAAACGGAGACCACUAUCACCCUAACCGCACAUCCUUUCAUCCAACAGCCGAAAACUCAAUUGUACCAAGGGCUUAGUACUAUUGAUAGUAUAAUAGUAUAAUUCUACAUAUAUAUAUAAAGAGAGAGAGUUGAGCUAGAAUACUCUCAAAAGCACAAUGAAGGUGGUGCUUUUGAGUUUUUAGCCAUUNAAGAGUAUAGAUCUUGUUUUAAAUAGUUUUAAAAAUUUUUUAACAAAAAUUCAAUUGAUUUGGAUAUUUUUACGCCGUUAAACGAGAAAACGCCUCAUAUCGACCAUUAAAAUUACAAAUUUUGAAACCCUUUGAUUAUUAGGCAAAUAAUGUCAAAAAGAUUUGAAAAUUGAUUUCUCAAUACUUCAAGUGGUAUAGAUUAUGUUCAACGGUGCCGAUUGUCGAUUUGGAGGCUCUAUCAUGGAAAACAAAUGGGUGGCAACGGAGUCCGUUUGCUAUCAAUAGUAUUCUAGCUCAACUCUAUAUAUAUAUACAUAUAUGUAUAUGUAUGUACGUAUGUAUAAUUAUCUGCGAAUGGCAUGGGUAUAAAUAUGUAUACAUGUAUAUAUAUAUAUAUAUAUAUAUAUAUAUAUAUAUAUAUAUAUAUAUAUAUAUAUAUAUAUAUAUAUAUAUAUAUANNNNNNNNNNNNNNNNNNNNNNNNNNNNNNNNNNNNNNNNNNNNNNNNNNNNNNNNNNNNNNNNNNNNNNNNNNNNNNNNNNNNNNNNNNNNNNNNNNNNNNNNNNNNNNNNNNNNNNNNNNNNNNNNNNNNNNNNNNNNNNNNNNNNNNNNNNNNNNNNNNNNNNNNNNNNNNNNNNNNNNNNNNNNNNNNNNNNNNNNNNNNNNNNNNNNNNNNNNNNNNNNNNNNNNNNNNNNNNNNNNNNNNNNNNNNNNNNNNNNNNNNNNNNNNNNNNNNNNNNNNNNNNNNNNNNNNNNNNNNNNNNNNNNNNNNNNNNNNNNNNNNNNNNNNNNNNNNNNNNNNNNNNNNNNNNNNNNNNNNNNNNNNNNNNNNNNNNNNNNNNNNNNNNNNNNNNNNNNNNNNNNNNNNNNNNNNNNNNNNNNNNNNNNNNNNNNNNNNNNNNNNNNNNNNNNNNNNNNNNNNNNNNNNNNNNNNNNNNNNNNNNNNNNNNNNNNNNNNNNNNNNNNNNNNNNNNNNNNNNNNNNNNNNNNNNNNNNNNNNNNNNNNNNNNNNNNNNNNNNNNNNNNNNNNNNNNNNNNNNNNNNNNNNNNNNNNNNNNNNNNNNNNNNNNNNNNNNNNNNNNNNNNNNNNNNNNNNNNNNNNNNNNNNNNNNNNNNNNNNNNNNNNNNNNNNNNNNNNNNNNNNNNNNNNNNNNNNNNNNNNNNNNNNNNNNNNNNNNNNNNNNNNNNNNNNNNNNNNNNNNNNNNNNNNNNNNNNNNNNNNNNNNNNNNNNNNNNNNNNNNNNNNNNNNNNNNNNNNNNNNNNNNNNNNNNNNNNNNNNNNNNNNNNNNNNNNNNNNNNNNNNNNNNNNNNNNNNNNNNNNNNNNNNNNNNNNNNNNNNNNNNNNNNNNNNNNNNNNNNNNNNNNNNNNNNNNNNNNNNNNNNNNNNNNNNNNNNNNNNNNNNNNNNNNNNNNNNNNNNNNNNNNNNNNNNNNNNNNNNNNNNNNNNNNNNNNNNNNNNNNNNNNNNNNNNNNNNNNNNNNNNNNNNNNNNNNNNNNNNNNNNNNNNNNNUUUUGUUAGAAAAUUCUUUAAACUAUUUAAAACAAGAUCUAUACUCUUGAUCUUGAUUACAAGACUCCUAUCAUCAUUUUUUAAAGAAUAUUCAUUUUCAGCCAUUCAUUUUUCUGUUCACUUGAUGGAUAAAAGAACAAUAUCGAAAAUGCGUGAAAUUUGAUUUCUAGGUAGUUUAAAUGGUUUAGAUCAUAUUUAACGGAGCCGAUCGUCAAUUUGGAAGCUCUAUCAUCGAAAACAAAUCGGUAGUAAAACGGCUCGUUUACUACCGAUAGUAUUCUAGCUCAACUAUAUAUAUAUAUAUAUGUACAGAGUCCGGCUAUUAUACUCUUAUGAGUACGAUCGCAUUCGUACUCGUAAGUUGUUUUCGAUGAUAGAGCUUCCGAAUCGACGAUCCAGAUCGUUAAACAUUAUCUAGAGUAUUUAAAACUUCUAGAUAAAGAUCGGAAUAGUUUGAAUUUUUGAUAGAAAAUUAUAUUCAUUACCUAGAUAAAGAUCAAUAACCCCGAUCUUAAAUUGAAGAAUCCGAUCAUCCAUUUUUAGGACGUCAUUCGAUUUUGACCAUUCAUUUAUAUCCGCUUGAUGGACUUUAUAAUGAUUUCAAAAAAUUAUAUAUUUUAUUUUUUAAAAGUUUCAAAUACUCUAGAUCAUGUUUAACUGUAUUGAUCGUCUAUUCGGAAGCUCCAAGAUCAAAAACAACUUAUGAGUACGAAGGCUCUAUACUCGUAAAAGUAUAGUAGCCCUACUAUACAUAUACAUAUAUGUACAUACAUAUAUAUGUAUAUGUACGUAUGUAUGUAUGUAUGUAUAAUUAUCUUGGGAUCGCAUGGGUAUAAAUAUGUAUAUAUGUAUAUACAUAUAUACACACAUAUAUAUAUAUGGAGCAGGACCGCUGUGCUCUCAGGAGCACGGCCUUCGUGCUCCUGAGCCGUUUUUAAUGAUGGAAUUUUCGACGAUCGGCUCCGUUAGAUUUGAUCUAGCGUAUUUGAAGUUUCUACAAAAUAAUUUUUGCAAUUUUUCAAUAUCAUUUACCUAACAAUCGAAAAGAUUUAAAAUCAAAUAUUUUUAACGACUGAAAAUAAAAAUUCUAUAAAAAGUGGUGACAUAGCACUAAAAUUUUCGAUCAGAAAUAUUGAUCUUGUUGUAAAUAGUAUAAAGAAUUUUAUAUCAAAUUUCAUCUGAUUUGAAUAGUUCUACACCGUUAAACUUAAAAACGGCAGAUAUCAACCGUUAAAAAUUAUAGAUUUUGAAUCCUUUCGAUCACUGGGUAAAUGAUAUCAAAAAAUCGCAAAAAUUAUUUUCUAGAAACUUCAAAUGCGCUAGAUCAAGUCUAACGGAGCCGAUCGUCGAUUCGAAAAUUCCAUCAUCGAAAACGGCUCAGGAGCCCAGAAGCCUCCGUGCUCCUGAGAGCACAGCAGCCCUACUCUAUAUAUAUGUAUAUACAUUUACAUAUGUACAUUCAUAUAAUUAUCUGCGGAUCGCAUGGGUAUAAAUUAAAGCUUGAUAAAAUAAAGAAAAAAAAUGCAAGAAUACAAAGUGUAGAACUUUAACCCACAGAAAAGCAAAAUGCAAAUAAAACAUACUGCAAUACCAUAGUGAGAUAAUUCUCUUUAAAAAUAUUCUAAAAAAUUGGUCGUUAAUUUCAUUUGAUUGGAUCAAAAGAAUAACUUAAAAUGUAUAUUGAUCGAUCACCUCCUCGCCCCGUCCUGUUAAGACUUGUUUGGUCCUAUUACAGAGUACAGUACUAUUUGAUAAAAUAUUACUUAAUAAUAAUAUUAAAAGAAAUAUUAUAUAAUUAUAACAUUUUUUUUUAAAUCAAACGUAUUGAAUUAGAGCUCGUGCUUCUAAUAUUCAAGUUCUCAUUUUUAUUUCUCACUGCAGCAGAUGCUAAAAAAAUUAUGUUUUAUAAAAGCAGAACUGAAAGUUUAGGCACCCGAUCGAGAGGAAUUGUUGUACCAAAUUUUCCCUGCUCACGUGGCAUGCACGAAACUAACGUGUCACAAGCUAAUUUAUUACGUGAGAGAUGAGACACUUCCCAAUGCAUGUUAUUAAUUACGUAAUUUUCAUGCAUAUUUACACCACUAGCACUUACUAAAAUUAUCACCAAAAGCCAUAUUAAUUUGACAAACACUGCAUCAAUUUGGUGUUAUCAUGUGGUGUGUCCACAUUAGUUCAUUUAAAUUCAACUAAUCCAUAUAAGAUGUGGAUUAUGAUUUAUUCUAAUAAAUUAAAAGUAAAGAUGAAUUAUAUAUUUUUUAUUUGUAAUUAGGAAACAAAUUUUCUGUAUAUUUUUUUCUCCGACAAUAUUCUGCAACACGUACCGGCAAAAAGCUGAUCCUAGGGUUUUCGAGUGCGAACUUCACACCCGACAAUCCGCAACACGUGGGAGAAGGCGAGAUACGUGAAGUAUUGAGAACUAGUAAAAUAAGCAAUCCGAUUUGUUUUUAGUUCCAGAAUACGUUGGCUAUCCAGUUUGUAAGUUUCCGUUGCCUUCUAAUUCCAACAAUUAGUUUCAGAGCUGUUUUUGCCUGUGAUGCAACUAGUAAAAUAAGCAACCCGAUCUGUUUUUGGUUUCAUAAUAUGUUGACUAUCCAGUUUGUAAGUUUCCGCUGCCUUCUAAUUCCAACAAUUAGUUUCAGAACUGUUUUUACCUGUGAUGCUUUUUUUUGAGAGAUACGUAAAGUAUCGAGACAAAAAUGAUUCAAGAAAACUAGUAAAAUAAGCAACUCGAUCUGUUUUUGGUUUCAAAAUACGUUGACUAUCCAAUUUGUAAGUUUCUGCUGUCUUCUAAUUCCAACAAUUAGUUUCAGAGAUGUUUUUGCCUGUGAUGCUUGAUUUUUUUUCUUGAGAGAGGCAUGCUACCUAAUUCGCUUAUUUUAUUUAGAAAUAAACUUAAUUAGCUAGAAAUGUGAAUCAACUAAAAUUCAAACUUGAGAUCUCGAGUACUAACCAUCAAGUCAUUUGCCACUUGCGCUAGGGACGGCCGGUGUAAUGCCUGAUUUCAUAUGCAUGUUUGUAGAUUUUUUUUUUAUAGAUUGGUUUUAUAUUUUUUUUAUUCAUUUUCUAUGUGAAAUCGAUUAAAAAAAAAAAAAAAAAGAAAAGGAAAAACUAAGUUAGGCUGACAAGAUAUUACGUCAGAAAGACAUAUGUUGAGCACUUGAGUCUGAGAUAUGCCAGCAAAUAGAAAUUUACAUUUAUUGUGUUUCCUUCUUUCUACUUGGUGCCGUUUUUUUUAAGGAAAAACUUCAAAAAUCUCCCCUAUAGUUUCAUAUUUUUUUAUUUUAGUAUCCUAUAGUUUAAAGUGUAUCAAGUUAGUAUCCUGUGGUUUUGCACUUUCUCACUUUAGUACCCUAUGAUUUAAAGUGUAUCAAGUUAGUACUCUAUAGUUUUAUUUUUGUAUCAAGUUAGUACCCUGUGAUUUUUAAACCACAGGGUACUUUAAAACCACAGGAUACUAAAGUGAGAAAAUGCGAAACCACAGGAUACUAACUUGAUACACUUUAAACCACAGGGUACUAAAGUGAAAAAGUGCAAAACCAGAUAGUACUAACUUAAUAUAUUUUAAACCACAGGGUACUAAAUUGAAAAAAAGUGAAACCACAAAGGGGUAUUUGAAGUUUUCCCUUUCUUUUAUGUGUAUACAAGAAAAGGAAAGAGGGUCCGGCCCGGCCCGCUACGGUAGAGAGGGUCCACCCAGCGGACUGAGGGCGAACGGGCCCGCCCCAGGACGCUGCGAGCGAGCGGGCCCGGCCUGCUCCGCACCAGGCGAGCAGGCCAGGCCCGGCCUGCAGUGNAGUUUUUAAACCACAGGGUACUAAAGUGAGAAAAUGCGAAACCACAGGGUACUAAUACACUUUAAACCACAGGGUACUAAAGUGAAAAAGUGCAAAACCACAUAGUACCAACUUGAUAUAUUUUAAACCACAGGAUACUAAAUUGAGAAAAAGUGAAACCACAUGGGGGGUAUUUGAAGUUUUCCCUUUCUUUCAUGUGUAUACAAGAAAAGGAAAGAGGGUCCGGCCCGGCCCGCUACGGGAGAGAGGGUCCACCCAGCCGACUGAGGGCGAACGGGCCCGCCCCAGCACGCUGUGAGCGAGCGGGCCCGGCCUGCUCCGCACCCGGCGCGCAGGCCAGGCCCGGCCUGCAGUGGGAGAGCAGAUCGCCCCGGCCCGCCACGGGCGAGCAGAUCGGGCCCGGCCCGCUACGGGCCAGAAGCCAGGACCGCUUCUGGUGCGCGGGCCAAGCCAAACUUACUGCGGGCCAGCCGGCCCGACCCACAGCUGGCGAGCAAGUCGGGCCCGGCCUGCUGCUGGCGAGGGCCGGCCCGCCGCCCCGCAGCAGUCGUGGGUCCCGGACCAGCCCGCUGCGGGAUAGCGGGCCUUUUCCGCCCUUUAGUUCUCGCAAGCCUUCCCGUCCUGCCCACUACGGGCGAGUGGCCCCGGUCCAGCCCGCUGUGGGCCUGUCGGCCCGGCCCGGCCCGGCCCGCUUCGAGCGAGCGCCCAGCUGCGGGCUUGCUGGCCCAUCCUGCCCUUCAGCUCCCGCUACGAGCGACUAUGCCCGGUUCAGCCUGCUGCAUGCGAGCGGGCCGGGCCUGGCCCUUUAGCUGGCUGACGGGCCCAGCCCGACCCGGCUCCAGUGGGAGGGCGGGCCCGGCCGCGGCGGGCGUGCAGGCCCGGUCCGGGCCGGCCUUCUGCGGGCGAGCAAGUCGCGACCGGCCCAAUGCAGGCGAACGGGCGCGACCCGCCCAGCAGCUAUCGAGCGGACCCAGCCCGGCCUAGCCUGCUGCGGGUAUACAGGCCCGGCCCAGCCUGCUGCGGGUGUGCAGGCCCUGCCCAGCCCGCUACGGGUGUGCGUGGGAGUGGGCCCGGCCCGGUCGCAGAGGGCGAGCGGCCCGUCCCACCCUUUAGCAGCCGACAAUGAUUAGAGACAUAAUAGGAUAAAAUCUACGACUAAUCACCUUUCGUGCUCAUAUAGUGCCGCAUACAAAAAAAAAACCAAGUAAAAAGCCAAAACAUUUGCAUAAUUCAGUAUAGGUCCAGUAAAUAUACAAAGUUUUAAUUUCCUUGCAUACAUAUGCAGUUGCCUGAACUACAAAUUCAUCUGUAUACUUACUUCAUAUGUUAAAGCCUUUCAGCAAAACAGAAGUCGACAAGCGAGGAACACAUGAUGGAUAUAAUGAGCAUGAGAACUUGAAAUCAAACAUCCCGCUUGCAUAUAUAUGCAACACCAUUAGAAGCUAACGCUGCAUCUUGUAAGACCAACCAUGUUCAUCAAGGAAUGCUCGAACAGCUUCUUUAAUGGCAAGAUUCGGAACGAGCUGAUGUGGCUCCAGCGGCUCCCGUGUGAUGGGGUCAAACUUGCCAACCUAAGUAGGGCAAUUCCCACAAGUCGAAAGUAAAAACAAAUGCGUUAGCCAACACUAUAUUCAAGGGGGGUGAAUUGAACCAGAGUUCCCUAACCUUUUUGAGAGGUUUCAGUUCAAUCGUCUACCUUUCGAUCAUCAUAAUGGGUUUUAUUAUAUUCUUAGGCUAAAUUGGAUGGAAAUGGGUGCGUGAUCACCAAAUAAGAAGCCCAAAUGUUGCCUACAGGGCAAUUAGAUGAUGACUACGUAGAUAUUUCCAUCAAUUUAAUGAAAGAUUUACUCACAACGGAGAGAUCUAAUUUUGGCAUCUGAGAGGUUAAGACCCCACGGUGCAAUUUUACCCUAUUUAACUCUCAAUGAAUCACCUUCUGAAGAUGUUCAUGAAGCACGGCCCUCUCAUNAGCCCGCUGCGGGAUAGCAGGCCUUUUCCGCCCUUUAGCUCUCGCAAGCCUUCCCGGCCUGCCCACUACGGGCGAGUGGCCCCGGCCCAGCCCGCUGUGGGCCUGUCGGCCCGGCCCGGCCCGCUUCGGGCUUGCUGGCCCAUCCUGCCCUUCAGCUCCCGCUACGAGCGACUAAGCCCGGUUCAGCCCGCUGCAUGCAAGCGGGCCCGGCCUGGCCCUUUAGCUAGCUGACGGGCCCAGCCCGACCCAGCUACAGUGGGAGGGCGGGCCCUGCCGCGGCGGGCGUGCAGGCCAGGUCCGGGCCGGCCUUCUGCGGGCGAGCAAGUCGUGACCAGCCUGCUGCGGGCGACCGAGCCUGGCUCCCAGCCCGCCCCGCCCCGCCCCGCAGCGGCGAGCAGGUCAUGCCCGGCCCAAUGGAGGCGAACGGGCGCGACCCGCCCAGCAGCUAGCGAGCAGACCCAGCCCGGCCUAGCCUGCUGCUGGUAUACAGGCCCGGCCCAGCCUGCUGCGGGUGUGCAGGCCCUGCCCAGCCCGCUACAGGUGUGCGGCCCAGCCCCGCCCCCGCCCCCGCCGGCGUGGGAGUGGGCGCGGCCCGUCCCACCGUUUAGCAGCCGACAAUGAUUAGAGACAUAAUAGGAUAAAAUCUACGACUAAUCACCUUUCGUGAUCAUAUAGUGCCGUAUACACAAAAAAAACCAAGUAAAAAGCCAAAACAUUUGCAUAAUUCAGUAUAGGUCCAGUAAAUAUACAAAGUUUUAAUUUCCUUGCAUACAUAUGCAGUUGCCUGAACUACAAAUUCAUCUGUAUACUUACUUCAUAUGUUAAAGGCUUUCGGCAAAACAGAAGUCGACAAGCGAGGAACACAUGAUGGAUAUACUGAGCAUGAGAACUUGAAAUCAAACAUCCUCGCUUGCGUAUACAUGCGAGACCAUUAGAAGCUAUCACUGUAUCUUGGAAGACCAACCAUGUUCAUCAAGGAAUGCUCGAACAGCUUCUUUAAUGGCAAGAUUCGGCACGAGCUGAUGUGGCUCCAGCGGCUCCCGUGUGAUGGGAUCGAACUUGCCAACCUAAGUAGGGCAAUUCCCACAAGUUGAAAGUAAAAACAAAUGCGUUAGCCAACACUAUAUUCGAGGGGGGUGAAUUGCACCAGAGUUCCCUAACCUUUUUGAGAGGUUUCAGUUCAAUCGUCUACCUUUCGAUCAUCAUAAUGGGUUUUAUUAUAUUCUUAGGCUAAAUUGGAUGGAAUGGCUGCGUGAUCACCAACUAAGAAGCCCAAAUGUUGCCUGCAGGGCAAUUAGAUGAUGACUACGUAGAUAUUUCCAUCAAUUUAAUGAAAGAUUUCAUCACAACGGAGGGAUCUGAUUUUGGCAUCAGAAAGGUUAAGACCCCACGGUGCAAUUUUACCCUAUUUAACUCUCAAUGUGAUUACCUUCUGAAGAUGUUCAUGAAGCACGGCCCUCUCGUAUGUAACUCCGCUUGGGGUAAUCACCGGGUCCCGAAAGAUAUCAAGUGUUAUUUUGCAACAGAGGUGGUCGGGCACCUGCAUUUGAAAGGGGAAUAUGCAUUAAACCACAAGUAUAAAUCAGCAAUGAUGUUUCCAGCACUAAAUCAGGUUACGCAGAAGUUCAAGAUGCAUAUGGAUUCUAAACUUUUGCUGAAUAAAGAAAUGUAAACAUUGUCUAAUAUGGAAGUGUUCACAAGAAUUAUGCUUGAAACAGUGAUAUUAUGAUAAUUGCAAUAUAGUUGGAUUUUUAUUCACAUAAGGUCAUUCUACCUCUUUUUCUCUGAUUAUAGAAAACAAAAAAGUUUAUCCUCGUGAUCAUCGUAUUGGGGUUUCACCUGUCGCUCGAUAUUUAUGAAUAAAUCACUUCCUAGCAACCUCUAGGAUUUUGCAAUGUAAUAGCCCCUAUGUAUUCAAGGAAGCAUACUGUGAUAAAUUAAUAUAUACAUGACUAAAUCCAAACAGAAUUUAACACGCCUUGCAUGUCUACAGUUACCGGUUUUUUUUUCUCUCCUAAUAACUUGAAAGCAUAUAUCAACAACACAAUAUAGAGGCACUUAUCCAGAGUUCCUUUCAAAAGAUUAAACCUAAUCAAUCUAAUGUAUCCUUAGAUUCCUCCACGACCUCUCCUAGCUUCACGUUUUUCAACACCUUGAGCCUGUGAACUUAGUUGUUUUAUUUUUCUUUCUCAGAUCAUUCCUUUUUACACUCUCAAAAAGAAAUCCCCUGCCAUUACAAAAAUAUUUUCUGAUUAAAUUCAUUGGAUUACACAUCUACACAUUUAUUUGAGUUUGCUGAUCGCUAUCUUUCCUCACCUAACCCAUAAUAUUUGUCUCCAAUCAACACUUAAGAGUUACAGCGACUUUCAUACACCUUAAAUUUAUGAUAUUUAAAAGGGCAUUCACAAAAUUUAGAAGGGGCAUUCUCGACGCAAAGUGCUAUUUAUGUAACUAUCUCAAAAACAGAAAUUAAGAGCAUUAUUAUGAUCAGGUACUUAAACCAGAAAGCAAAACCUUAAUAAUGCAAAUUUCUAAUUUAUUGACCAUUUGUGAUAUCCAAUCAAUCUUUCAUGGCUAUAGUUCUAAAAAAGUGAAUGUAUUUGCAUUAUUACUAAGAAAUUGAAACUAUAUAUUCAUAGUACCUGUAUCGAUAGACUUUCCAAGCAUUGCACUCUACAUUUCAACUCUGCAGUACUCUGGCUUUGGUUUUGUACUUGUUGCUCCAAUCUCCCGACAUGCUCCUUUAUUUGGCGGAUGCUUUCUUCAACUACCGUACCCUCACAGGAACACGAACAUGAAGGCUUGAAGAUCUCUCUCGGAGAGGGACCUAAUCCUAUACCGCGUAUAUAUCCUUGUUUGUCCUUUCCUAUGAUUUCGGAGAAAGCAUCACCCUUCCAUGCAACCCGUCCUUGCAAUGUUGAUGCCUCUAAAUUCUCGGCCAUCUUUUUCUGCAAAUCAGACUACAAAAAGAAAGCCCAUAUUAGCACGUAAGGAAAAAUUCGGUAUUGCUUUUAGUUCAUAUUUUCUUCUAACACGCAUUGUGAAAUUAAAUGCAUACGGCUAAUCUCUCAUCCAAGUACGUUCCAUCCUUGUGCAUAUGAGUACUCAAGUAGACUUCAGCACGUUGCGGCUCUUUCUUCUCUGGAUGCUUUUGCCUCUAUAAAAAGCAAUGUUAUAAAGAUCAUACACUUCAAAAUAUAAAAAACGUAAGGAAACUCACAUUUACUUAAAUGCAUUGGUGCAUACCAUUUCCUCUGCAACGCGUGCAAAACUCUUUGUGCCAGCAGUGUGAGUCGUCUUCAGCAUUGCACGGUUUCUUUUGUUCCUUAAACUACGAGCCUAUGAUAGCAUAUAUAACUUCAGUUCUUACAUAAACUUAUAGAUUACAAUAACAUAAUCCCUACCUUUCCAGCAUCUGACUUCCAGAAGUUAACAAGAGAAAUCCAUUGAUCGUUAACCACAUCUUCUGGAGCUUUACUAUGUAACUCCUUCAAGCUGGCACGCUCAUCAAAGUACGUUCCUUUUAGAUCACACUUAUAGUCCUUCCACUUUUUCCCAGUUGACUUUAAAAUCCACUUUUCACACCGCACAGUGUAUAGGAACUUUGCCUGCAUUAAACAAAAGCGAUAGGAACAAAAUUUGCAUCAAAUUAUCUUGCAUCCCAAUUUUGCUAAGCUUUCUCAACUUGCUCAUAAUGAAGGAUUGUUUGACCAAUUAACAAGGAUUUUCUGUGCUUCUCAAUUAUAUGUAUAUAAAGCAGGCUUUUGAAAAAACCAAAAGAAUAUGUAGCUUACAUGAUUUGUUUUACAGCAAAUAGCAUCGUACUAAAUAUUUGAAGUUUAAAGCACCCAAGUAUAAUCACGAAAAAUAUUCACAAACUGGUCAUAUAUUUUUAACCUAAAUUGAUGGAUUCUUACUUAUGUACCACAAGUCACAAUGGAACACAAGAAAAGAGCAGAUAAUAUCAGGCAUCUCACAAACAAUCAUAUUUUUAUCUAUCAUCGACCUUUUGUUUUGAAGCACAAGGGUUCAAUAAUCCGAACAAUGAAAAACAAGCUGAUUAAUACCUUCACCGCAGUUAGUAUUUUUUCCUCGGCCUCCUUUUUAACAUAUCUCCAGUCGUUAUGACUUAAAGUGCAUAUCCUUCCAUCUCUAGCUACGGAUCCCAAAAACUGAGCCAACAACCGCCCUUCAUUCCUAACGGGUUGCCCUCGGGCAUUGCAAACUACGACAACUCGAUGCCCCGGUGGUAAACUCCACAAAUCAGCUAGUUUAGCCUUCACACAGGUUCUUUCACCGAUCUCAUCUGCACAGUACGACAAUAUGUUACAAAAGUAUUAUUCCAUAGCUCAGGAAAUAUUGUAAAACCCACAAUAAUUCACCAAUUUAUACAACUUAUACCUUCCAUGAUUACUUCGUCACCUUCUUCGUGAUCUACACUCGAGUAAGACUCCGAAUCACUAGUUUCUGCAGCAUGCGGGUCGAUAUAAGCAGGACUCGGGGAAGGGGGGGCAUAAUCAAAUUGCAUAUGGGACCGUGUUUGCGGGGUGGGUUGAGAUUGGGGCUCCCCCCGAUAUUCAUAUUGAUUUUGAAUUGUUUGGCAUCGUCUACGCCUUGCCAUGAAUGAUCAAACUAUAAUACUAUUACACUACACAGAGAGAGAAAAAAAAAAAGAAAAAGAAAAAAAAGCUCUUUUUAGCAAGAUAAACAAAGAUUUGGUGUAAAAAUAUUCUAGUUCAAUUGUUUACUGCUAAAUUGCAUUGAAUUAAGCUGGAUAAAACUGCAUAACUGCAGUUAUUUUCAGCAAUAUGAAAGAAUUAAAACGCAAAUACAAAAGAUAUAUACAGAGAUUCACAAAAUGAUCCGAUUGAAAGAGAAAUUAAAGUUUAGCAUCUUAAUUGAAAGAGAAAUUGAAGUUAAAAAUGGUUCUAGUAAUAAUCAAUGGUGCGUUUACACCGUAAUAAAGAUUUAAUAAAUCGCGCAAAUAAUUUCGCUGUUUUUCACUUACUCGAGAUUUGGACGGGGGAAAUUAGCGCUGGUAAAGGAUUAAAAAGGGUUUUUGCUCAUACCCAGAGAUAAAUCUACAGGAUCCAACUCCGAAUCUCGCUCGAUCCAGCAAAAGCACUUCGAACUACAGCGCAGACUAAGCGCUUUCCGGAGUGGAGAGAGAGAGAGGGGGGGAUGGGGCUCCGCAAGGGCGAAAUAGCAAAACAAGUGGGAUAAAAAUGUGCUGAGACCCCCCUCAACUAUACGCUAUUUUGAACUACGUCCUCAAUUUUGCAUUUGCACCCUUCUCUAAAAUUCUAUAUAGUUUGGUGGUAAACUUCAAAUCAAGUUAAAAUACCAUAUUGGUUACUACUUUUUAGACAAAUAUAGUGCAUAUUUCGACAAUAAUUAACUGUAAUAAAAUUGUUAAUUUAAGUAAAAUUUUAAAUUUAGGCUCUAUUCACACACGCACUAUAAGAAAAUAUAAUAAAAAUUAUUUUUUUUAUUUCCGUAAGUAAUUUCUCAUUACCAUAUCAUAUUAAAUCUGUCUACUAAGAUGUAAUUUUUAAAACAUUAUCUAAAAUCAAAAAAGUAUUUCUUUUAUAUGUUUCUACCCCAACAUUUCACCUAAUAGCAUUAUACGACCCUUCAUACCAAAGGGGCCCUUAAUCUAUCCAAACAAACUCAAAUAAAAACAAACAAAAAUAAAGGUGUCAGUUGAAAAUAAAUAAAUAAAUUCAAGAGCUUCAAUGGCCUAUAGUCACUAAAGUCUUCAAUUUUUAUUUAUUUUUUUGACCUUUAUUGAUUUAAAGUUUAAAAAUGCCAUUCUAAUAGAAAGGAAAGAUGCAAUGAAAGGGAGAAAAUGCCACUGUUGGUGGCAACUAUAACCGAGCCAAGGUCAAGAAGUAUCUGAAAUUUACCCAGCUAAUUCAGACCCAUCCAUCUAGGAUACAUAAAUUCCUGCAUAAGUUUUUUUUUUGAGAAAAUAAAUUCCUACAUAAGUUACCAUGAUUACAAUCUAGUUAAAAAAAAAAAAUCAAGGUUUAUUGACUAAUCAAGGUUUAUUUCAAACCCAUACUUAAUAAUCAAGGUUUAUUUGACUAAUCAGUCCAAGUACAGCAGCAAAUUAAAAAAAAAAAAAGGGACAACUACAGAGUAUCACUAGUAUGUACACAAAAUCCUACAAAAGACACUACACACAAGACCAAACAACAAUCCAUAUGUACACCACCACCAUUUGUUAAAACCAUUUGGCUGAAUACAAAUGGAGAGUUGAGUAUCCAAGGAUGAACUAAAAUGAUGUGGAAGUUAUAUUCCUUCGAUUCGAUGAUCAUGCUUCGCAUCAAAAAGUAAUCUCCUGGUUGAUGCAUAUGAACAUUGAAAGCUAAAGCUAUGGCCUCAUCUUGUAAGCCCAGCCAUGGUCAUCGAGGAAUGCUUGGACAGCUUCUUUAAUGGCAAGGUUUGGCACGAGUUGCUCUGGCUCGAGCGGCUCCCGCGUGACCGGGUCAAACUUGCCCACCUAUGCCGUCCAACAUGUUAGAAUUAAAUGUGAAGCACUAGCGCCCAUUGGCCUUAACUAGAGCUUUUGCAGAACUACAGUAGUGUUGUUAAGGUUGAACCGUUCAAAAGAACACUAACAGUUUAUUUUAACUGAAAAAAAAAAAAAAAAUCCCGCAACAGCUUUUCGCAAUAGCAGUGACAGAGGCAAAAGUUUCAGAUUAAAUCUUCUACUUCUGGAGCACAGAAGCUCAUAUCAGCUUUACAGCCCACUGCAAAAGCUCCAGAUUUUACUUGCCAAACAUGUAGACUGCUUGUCGUUGGAGUAGCUAGGCCAAGUAGGAACUUUGAUUCUAUUCAAGUUUACAUAAGUCACCUUUUGGAGAUGUUGAAGAAGCAUGGCCCUUUCGUACGUAACUCCAGAUGGUGUAAUUACGGGGUCCCGAAAGAUAUCUAGGGUUAUUUUACAGCACAGAUGGUCAGGUACCUACAAUUCAAUGUUUCUAACAACCAUAAGAAGACAAUAUGGGAAGAAACAAGUAGCAGAAAAGGCAGUAGAAAUCUCACUUCUGUUGGAACAUCAGCUACUGUGGCUUUUCUGAACACCUCCCUCAGCUGAAUCAACUGCUCCUCAUAUUCAUCUUCAGUUGAACCAUCAAGGUCACGAUAAAUCUUAAGAGCAUUUUCACAUGCUUCCCUGGAUUAGAGAGAAAUUUGCAUUAGAUUUAAGCACAGAUCAUAAAAUGAAUAAUUUCGGAUGUUGUUGGGCCUAUGUAUAUUACAUACUCCAAUUUCCGAAGUUGAGAUGCUAUCUCCUUUGAUGACCUCUCCCAUUCCGUGUACUUUGCCUUGGCGAGCGCCUGCCAUAUUUCCUCAACCAUGUAGCUCAUAGAGUGUGGGCCCCUCCCGAGUUCCAAAGACUAAGUUUUUGUACAACCCAAAUAUUAGCAAGGCAAGAAUAACAAAUAAUGCAAACCAUUAAUACAAAUAAUGCUGUUGAACAAUGGCCAUCUUAAUCCACAUGCCAUUACAAUCUUCCUCUAGAUUCCAUUUCUUUUUUUUUCGUUUUGUAACUACUCUUCCUUCCUUUUUUCUUGUAUUGCGCCAUCCAAUUCAAGGGUGACUAUCUAUUUCUCCAUUUUCUUGAUCAUAAAUUCAACAGCUGAACAGCACUAAAAUGUAUUCUAUAGAAAACACUAUCCAUGUGUGAUUUCGUAAUCUUUAAAAUCUUACAGGGCAAAGCCUGUUUGACAUCAUCAAAUGGACUCAUUGAAGAAAUCAGACUUUCAUACAUCCUGUUACCUGCAAACAAAUGAUGCUGAUUCCAGUCCCAGUAAUUGUGACACCCAACCACUAUAUCAUUAUUUUCCAUAAAUGUGCUCCUACAUCCAAAAUCAUAUAGUAUGUUUUCUCUCUUGCCCUUCUCUCACUCUUUCAGUUAGAUACAAGAAGCAUUAAUUUUAUAUGACAGCAUCACAUUAAGGCACUAUUGUUGGUAUCCCACCCUUCGUUGUUCUUGCAUCUGAAAGGUGAGGAUACAAUGUGCCAUUUAAAACUUCAAAUCUCCAUAAAUUUCCUUGACAAAAAAAGUUCUAUAUCGGGUAUCAAGAAACCAACAGUCUUCCUUUCUACACUAGCGGUUGAAAAUAGAAAUGCAUAGCUGUGCACCCCCUCAAUUCAUCGAAGAUCUUAUAUGCCCCUAAAAAGUUUGCAGUACAAUGGAUGCCCCAGUAUGUAUACAACUUUCAUACAACUUUCAUAAAUGCCCAUCCAGGAUGGCAUUUUUGAUGUUUAGUUAUUUAGAAGGGGCACCUAAGAAAUAAACUACGAGCUGGAGGAAUAUGAUAUUAAGGUAGUUGACAGAUACACAUUUAACAUUGAAGUAAAAUGCAUGGACAACACCUCAAUAAUAGGCCAUUUUAGAAAGGCCCUGAUUUCCUGAACAACUUUUUUUUAAUUGACACUUCCCUCAAUUUUUGCUUGCUUUGAUUUGAGUUCUCUCUGUCAAUUGAAUAGAGGAUUGUGCUAAUUUUAACAGUGACUUUACCAAAUUUUGUGGCUUUGCUUGCUUUUCAGCUGACAAAAUAGCAAAUCUCCUUAUCAGUUGAUAAUUGAUAGAAAGCAGAGCGGUAAGUUUUAAUGGAAUUCCCGAUUCAUAAUUAAAAUUAAAAUAGGAUAAUCAGAAUGAACAAAAGCUGAGGUGGUGUCAACUAGAAAAAUAAUUAAGUUUGGAGUCUAAAUAGCCUAUUGUUAAGCGGAUCUACACAUUUUUCCCUAUCUUACCCUAACACUAAGCACAUGCAACAAAAAGGUUUACUGUAUAAAAGUACUCCUCAGCGAAACUACCAAUUUCUUAAACACUUGGAUAUCCAACCAAUAAUUGAUGGUCAUAUUUCUUACAUGACUUUGGUAUAGCAAUUAGCAAUAGUUACUUCUCUGAGUUCUAAUUCAGUUCUCAAUGUAGAAAUCAAUCAAUCAAAAUAGUAAUUACUCUCUUUGCAGAUGCUUGUUCAGGGUAAGUGCUUCCUACAGUGAGAGGCGGGACACCAAUAUGAUCCUUAAUGUCUGCUAAUUAUCACACUAAACAUGAAGAAAAACCCUGGCAACAUACCUCUUUGUCCUUCUAGCAAAAACAAUUAGGAAGAAUUAAAGAGUUAAUCAGUUAAUCUCCAUUAUAUUGAAGAAUCGCAUGAUGAUCUAAUAAUUGCAACCACAGUUUACAAAACUUUCACAUAAUCUACAAAAAGCGGGAGGGGGAGGGGUAGACCUUCUCCAAUUCUUUGAUUCCCUCUGCAUAUUCUUCCCUGUCAAGAAGUGCAAGACCCAACAUAUAGUGUGCCUGCCAAUACAAUAUAUAAUUAUGUGCUGUUAAGGAGAUUUGCAUAUGCCAUCACAAUGCACAAACUAUGUGAUGCUAAGGAGAGAUAAGUAUCUUUUAAUUCAAUAGGGAAAACAUGUUGUAAGUUACAACUAAAUGUAAAUAUUUCAAGGUAAUAAUAAUAUGCUAUCUAGAAGGAAGAAAGAGAAAAAUAGAAGAAAACAACUACAUUAAAUAAGAGAGAUCACAUGCAUUCAUUCAUGUAAUGUUUGGUUGAAGCACAAAAUCUUGGGGGUAACUUUUUCAUUCUAGGGAAAACGGGAUGUUCCAGAGCAAACUGGACGAAGUGCAGAUUUGCAUUUGGAUGUAUUCAGUUCCUAGAGGAUAUCCCAAAUAGUGUUUGGGUAGAAAAGUUUGUAAGUACCUGAAUUUUUUUUAAAUACCAUCUUCAUGCUUUCAUAUCAUGGCAAAUUUUUGGCCAAGUAAUUAAGUAUAGGUUGGACUGUUAGAAUUUGGCCUAAAAUUGGGCAAAUACAAAAUUAGCAUCAAACUAGACAGGACACUAGCAAUGAUUCAGCACAGAUAAUCUGUAAAAUUGAAGGUGUAAGAUAGCAAAAAGAACUGAACGAACGGCAAGAUAUAAUUCAGCACACAAAUAACAUAUCUCAUCAAAUUAACUAAAAAUUAGGGGCAUAAAAAAUAAAAUAUACUGUGCAUACAGAAAAAUAUAAAAAGAAAAUCACUGCAAAUCAAUCAGAGAUGAUUAGCAAGUGUUAACGAGCAAUUCCUCACAGAAAACAAGAAGAAUAACAAGAUAAUUGACAAGCAAAUCCAAAAAUAUAAUUACGAACAGCAAAACAUACAAACUAUACUAAGAAAAAAUUCUAGAAUUAGGACAUCAAAGCUUAAAGGAAAGAACUAUUUACAUUCGUGCCUCUCAAAAGUUUAAGAAUAUCAUGGGUUCUUGUCAGACCAGGAGGGGGUGGUGCCCUCUAACUGUUAGGAGUUAAACGGAUACCACGCAUGCCCCACUAAUUAUUAACAAUUUAUCAUUAAUUCUCUCAUUGUCAAGGGACGUUAGCAAAAACUAUUUUACACACACCAGUUUAAUGUAAGUUAAAUUAUUAGUUGACAUUUUUAUCCACUUUCACUUCCUCUUUCUUCUCCAAUUCUUCCUCUUCUUCAGAGAAAAAGAGAGGGCAGUGGGUGAUGGCUGCCGCCACCACUGCCCGCAGCAGAGGAGGGAGGCGGCAGGCGUGGAGCAGCCAUACUAGAGUAGAAGGAAGGCGGUGGAGGCGACAGCAACAGAGAAGGAAGUGGGGAUAGCUAUAGUUGUAGAUGCAAUGGAGGAGGCGAGGGCAGCAGCAACAGUGACAAUAGCCGUUGUGGAGGAGAGAGCAUAGAAGGAGAAAGUAGGUAAGAGCUGUGAGAGAGCGAGAGAGAGAGAGCAAUGGAUGGAGAGGAAAAAAGAGAAUGGAUAGAAAGUUUAAGGGCAAAAUUUACAUUUUGCAAAAAUAUAAGCAUACUAUGAGGGAAAAAUGUCAUAUUAAUGAUAACUUCGAAAUGCAUUUUCGAUAUUUAUAACGUUAAAAGGGUAAUUGUGUACUUAUGAGUGUUUCUGAGGAGCACUUAAUUAACUUCCCCUAGAAAAAACAUCUGGUCGAGAUUGGAGGAUUUCACAUCAAUGUUGCGGUCAAAUUGCAAUAUUAUGGUAUCCAAAAUUCAAUAAAACUCAGACUUGGAAAUCGCAUGUCUCCUCCAUCAAUACAAAAGGACCGUUAAAUCGGCAUCUGGUAGGAUGAAACGGCACAUGGUCUUUCCCGCAAGAGCAUCUCAACCUCUCGAAAGAAGUUAUUCAAUAGACCACAUCUAUAGAUUGAGAGUCUUCACUCUUCAACAAUUCAAACCUAAAGUUCUUAAGAAUUAAAUAUAGAAUGUUGUAUACGAUCUACAAUCCUUACACUUUGUAUGUAUAAUAAAAAGUAAAUAUUUGAUAUCUACUAACAAGCUUUUGAAAUCAUGAUCUGCAGAUUAUUUAAAAAUCACACGUUACUUAAUGGGUUGCAAUGAUGUCUCCCACUACAAUACAGCUUACAACUCUUACACUCGAGAUCUAACUUUCAAAAAGCAAUUUUUUCAUCCUACUAAUCAAAAGUCGAUGAGCAUUAGAAAUAAACUAAGCGAAAGCUCAUAUGGCAAACUUAAUGCAUAAAGCAUGGAAGAAAGGAUGGAAACUAACGGAAGUAGCAAUAUUACCUUAACCGAAUGACUGUCGAGCUGAAGAGCCUUUCUGCAGUCAUCCUCAACUUUUCUCCAUUCACUACCAUUCGAUAAGAAAACAGUCCAAUAUUCACAAAGAGCAGAUUAAACAUUUCAAAAAGAAAGAAGAAAAAUGAAAUAAUUAGCAUACUAACUUCCGCUUUUUAUAGCAUAGUGCUCGAUUAGUCCAAUAUACCGCCACAUUUGGGCACAAUGUGAUUGCCUAUAGAACCCAAAUCACAAAGAAAAUUAGCACUGAGAAAUGCAUGGGGGCAAGACCUAAAGGAUAUUUGAAGUUGAAAUUUUUUUGCCCAAAUGGAUCAACGUAUAAAAAAGUAUCUCAAUACAUCAAAGAAGAUACUUUGGGAAUGAAAAACUGAUAAAUUAAUCGACCCCAUAGAACAACAAUCGGAGUCUAUGAGAACAAAGGGGGUAAAUUGGAUACGCUAAUCUACUAAACUGGGCAAGAAAACAAUUAGCGCAAGAGCCCAUAUCUAUAUUCACAGAAUUUGUUACUGAGUAAUCACAGCAACUUCACAAAUUACAGGAAACAGAAGCUGAUUUCAUGCCUCAUAAUAACUCCCUUCCUACAAGAGAACUAAAGGGACCUAAAUAUAAGGGUUAACAAACUCAAUUAAGACAGAAAACCUAUUAAUGAAAGAACCCAGAUCACGAUUUCAUGGCAAUCGAAAUGGGCGAUCACAAACUAACAGAACAUCCAAAGAAUUGAUUCCCCUCCAAAAAUAUUACUCGGGAAUCAAAAAGAAAUGAAUUGUAUGUCAUGCAUCAACUUUUAAAUCCAUUGGUGGAAUCAUUAAGUUGAUGAAACGGGUAUUUAUCUCUCUUCCUAUACAACCAAGAGUAGAAAAAGGGGGAAAAAAAACAAAUUAAUACGCUUUCCUAUCUUUUUCCCAACAACUGGAAUCGAAUUCAGAUGGAUUCUAAUUUCACCUAAUCUAACGAAAUUCUCCUAACCCUAACUCCAUCAGAUCGAUCACAAAUACCCCUAGUAUCAAUUACACGCCACGCAACAGCUACCCCGCAAUAAUAAGCUAGAAUAAUCAAACGGGUGCAAGAAUCGGUACAAGACCCCGGUGUAGGCGUCAAUGGCGGCUCCGAUCCGCUCCUUCUUGUAGAACGUGUUCCCGUCCUGCUUCAGCAGCUCCGCCUGCUUCGCCGCGCUCGCCUGCGCCGGCGCCAUCGUCGUCGUCGUCCUCUUCCUCCUCCUCCUCCUCCUCUCUCUCGAUUCGUCUCUCUCUCUCUCUCUCCCUUUCUCUCUCUAGGGUUUGGGGGAGGAGAUGAUGAAGAAGAAGAAGAGGAGGUCGAAGCUUCGUUCGCUCUUUUGUUUCGUCGGGGUGUUGGUUUUUUCUCUACUUUUUCUUGUCUUGUCGCUGGGGUCGCGAAUGGAAAUGGAGUUGCAUGGAAGGUUCACCCGAGACCGAGACGUAGGGCUGGCAAAUGAGCGAGCCUGCUCGCGUUCGACUCGAUAUUUGGCUCGCUCGAACUCGACUCAAAAUUAAAUGAGCCGAACAAAAAAAAAAGGCUCAAAAUUAGGGCUGGCAAAUGAGCGAGCCGGCUCGCANCGUUCGACUCGCGUUCGACUCGAUAUUUGGCUCGCUCGAGCUCGACUCGAAAUUAAAUGAGCCGAGCUUGAACAAAAAAAAAGGCUCGAAAUUCAUUUCAAGCCGAGUUUGAGUUUUACUCGGCUCGUUCGAAUUAGGCUCGAAAAGCUCGAAUAUAUAUAUAUAUAUAUAGAAAAGCUACUAUGCUAUCGAAAGUAUAGAGAUCUGGUGCCUUCGAUUUUUUGAUCCUUACAUCAAUCCCUUUAAUCGUUUGUUAUAUUUGGAUUAAUAUUAUUAUUACCUUGUAGGGACCACUCAAUCCUAAGAAUAUUAUUUAAUCCUAGGGGAGGCCGCAAUUAUCCCAACCAUAUAAUUUUUAAUCAAAGAGUCAAAAAUUCAAAAACAUCAAAUCCUUUAUAUUUUCGAUAGCAUAGUAGUUCUACCUUAUAUAGUAAUUAUAUAUUAUAUAUAUAUAUAUAUAUAUAUAUAUAUAUAUAUAUACUAUAUAUAAUAUAUUUUAAUUAAUUAUAUAGGCUGCAGGUGAAUAAUCUGAGUUUAGUUAAAUUGGACAUAUUAUUUAGUCCCAUAAAAACAAUACCGCCUAAUAGAUAAUAGAAGAGGCAAAAAUUUACUAAAUUCUGAUAUAUUUUUCCUUUUUUUCGUUUUUUUUUCUUCACAGCAGCUGCUUAAUUUUUCAAAUAUGUUUCCCUCUUUCUCUUUUUCUAUCUCUCCCUAAGUGGCCAAACGGUAACCUCGUAGAUUACCAAGGUAACAUCAUAUGCCGCGAUUGCCUUACCUGUGCUACUUAGUUGUAUUACUUGCAGAAAAUAUACAUAUAUUUUUAUAAAAGUAAAAAAUUAAUGUAUUGCAUAUAAAUUUUAAUUUUUUAGUUAUAUUAUGAUUGGAUAGUUCUAAUCCAAAUAUUUAUUUAUAUAAUUAUUUAUUUUUUGACUGCAUAUAAAGCAUGAAAUAGAUGAAUAUAUACGAGAUUGAAGGCUCGGAAACGUAAAAGAGAUAUGUCAGGGCUGAUAAAAAAUUAGAUAUUCACAUCUCAUAAAUCUUAUUUAUUUUUUAUAUUAUGAAUACUUUUUAUUAAUGUAUUUUCUACUUUGAAAACGUAUGUAGACAUAUUUUUUAUCAAAUUAUAAGAUAAAUGAUUUUGUAUACAAAUUAAAACUAGUGAUUGUAUAAUGUGAGGAUAUUUUAAGCGGCAUCGUUUUAUUUUUGGGUUCGGAGCGUCGCCUUCUCUGAAAUUAUGCGUCUGUGACGCUCGACUCGAAUUAAUUUCAUCCAAGCUGAGGCUUUAAUUAAUUGCUCUGAAGAUUAUCAGUUUCAAAGCACGAUUGUGUGGCAGCCGUGAGAUAAGCUUGCUCGAGCUCGCGAGGCUCAUUUUCCACCCCUACUCAAAAAUUCAUUUUAAAGUCGAGCUGUGAGUAUUCAUUCGGCCUCAUUGCGAUUAGACUCGGAAAAAGCUGAAUAUAUUACUAUAUAUAUACUAUUGAUAUACAAUGGCUAUUACUGUAUAUAUAGUUAUAUUAUAAGCCUCUUUUAGCCUAUCGAAGGCAUCACGCAGAUCGUGGUGCGUUUUUUCAAUCUAGUUCUACUAGAUCAAUCCCGUUUAAUCGUUUCUUAUUUUGAUUAAUUAUCAUUAGUACCUGUGUUUAUUGGCGAGCCAAUAAUCUCUGACACGAGUAUUAUUUAAUCCUAAGGGAAACCGCAGAUCAUAUCCCAAACCAUCAAUUUUUAAUCAAGGUCGAGCGUCAAAAACAUCAACUCACGUCUAUAUUUUCCCGAUAGCAUCAGGUUGUAGUUUCUUACAUAUAUAUAUAUAUAUAUAUGUACUAUAUAGUAUAUUAUAAUAAUAUAUAUAUUAAAAAAUAUAUAAAUAUAAUAUAUUUUUACAUUAUAAUAAGGCUGGUAAUAAUUCUGAGUUUAGUUAAAAUGUCUCAAUAUUGUGGUGGCGCCAUAAAAAAAGCAAUCCCAAUAAACAAAUAUUAGCAGGAGAGCGCAGAAAUUUUAACUGAGAAUUUAUGGUAUUUUAUUCUUUCUUUCUUUCUUUCUUUCACAGAGCUCUAAAUUUUCAAUAUGUUUCUCUCUUUCUCUAUUUCUGUCUCUCACCCUAAGUGGCCAAGCCGAAAGCCCUCUAAGUUAUCAAGUAACAUCGGGCAUAAAGCCCGCCGUUGCCUACCUUACUAUUAAUUGUAUGCUUGAAAAAAUAUACAGAAUAUUUUUAAAGUAAAAAAGUUUUAUUUAUAUAAAAUUUUAAUUUUAGUUAUAUAUGAUUGGAUAGUUUAAUCCAAUAUUUAUCUAUAUAAUUUAUUUAUUUUUGACUGCAUAAAUGANCGUGCCUAACCCUUUUUUGUUAGGCUAAUAUUAGGUCCAUGAUCCUUAUAUUUUAGUUCAAUUAGCUAUCAACCAUUUAGUUUCAUAUUAACUUUUGGGGAAAACUUCAAAUACCACCGAUGUGGUUUCGUGCUUUCUCACUUUAGUACCAUGUAAUUUAAAAUUUAUCAUUUUAGUAUUAUGUGAUUUCAUUUUUCUUUUUUCAUUAUCCCUCAAGUUAUUUUUUCGUUAUAUUAGUAAUAAAGCUAAAACCAUAGGAUACUAAAGUAAAACAUUCGUUAAACUAGUCUACAUAGUACUAAAAUAAAUAUUCAAUAAAUUAUAGAUAGGCUAUCUGAAGUUUUUUAUAUGUGAUUUAACGAAGAACUAACGGAUAAGCUGAAAAGAAAAAAAUAAAGGGUUAAUUACACUAACGGUCCCUAACCUUUACACUAUUUUUCAAUUUGAUCCAUAAUCUUUUUUUUUACAAUCAAGACCCUAAUCUCUUGAUUUCAUUUCAAUUAAGUUCCAACCGUUAGAUAGCUGUUAUAAUUGCUGAAAAAUGUCACAUCAGCACCAUGUCAGCGCCACGGUGGCGCUGUAUCAGCGGAUUGUAAGAAAAAAAAACGAUUGGGGACCAAAUUGAAAAACAGUAUAAAAGUUGGGAACCAAUGGUGUAAUUAACCCAUUAAAUUUAUAAAUUCAAAAAAAGAUUUUUAAUUUAAGAUUUAAAUUUUAAAUUUAAAUUUUGAUUUUGGAUUCAAAUUUAAAUUGGAAUUGAAAUUCCGAUUUUGUAUUUAAUUUUAAAUUUUUGAUUUUAAAUUCAAAUUCACAUUUGGAAUUCUAAAUUAUAAUUUAAUUUCAAACUUCAAUUUGAAAUUUCAAAUUCAAAAUGUGAAUUUGAAUUCAAAGUUUAAAUUCAAAUUUAGAAUUGAAAUCAAAUCUUAAAUUCAAAUUUAAAUUUUGAAUUCAAAUUUAAAAUCAAAAUUUUGAAUACGAUUUUAAAUUUAAAUUCAAAUUUUAAAUUUAAAUUUUGGUUUCAAAACUUUCAUUUUAAAUGUAAAUUGAAAUAUCAAAAUCAUUAAAUUUAAAUUUUGAAUUUCAAUUCAAAAUUUUAAUCAAAAUUCUAAUUUGUCGUUAGUUUAAAAUUUUAUUUUUAAUAUUAUUUUUGAAUUUAAAUUUAAAAUUUUGAAUUUUAUUUUUAGGGACUAAAAUAAAAAAUGUGCAAAGUUUAGGGACCUAAAAUGACAUACAAAAGAAUGCCAAAUAGACGUUGACGCGGCGAUUCCGUUAAUUUUAACCCUUUUUUUAACGGUUUGGGACGUAAUUGUAAUAAAAUCAAGAAAUGAAGGACUCAAUUGCAAAAAAAAAGGUUGGGGACUCAAGUAAAAAUUGGUGCGAAGGUUGGGUAUCCUCAUAUUAAUGAAUUGGAAUAAUCAUAAUAUGUCUAAUCUCUUUCUUUCUCUCUACCCGCCGACUAGUUGGUAUUAUUAUUUUUUACACUAUAGCCUCAAAUCCCUCUUUAAACUUAGAUUUUUCCCUCUAACUCUCUAAACUAAGCUCACUCUUCCUCUUUUUUUCUAAAAUCUCAACUAUCUCACUCCCUCUAAACUCGACUCUAUUUCUCUUUCUAUUUCUUUAAGUAUGCUCUCUCUUUUUCUAACCUAUAUUCCUUUUUUUCUAAAAGGAUGUUGAAAUUUUUGGUACCAUUAUCUAAAAUUAAUUAAAGAAAUAAAUAAAUUGAUUAUAUAUUUUUUGUAAUCUUAAAUAGUAUAAUUAAAUAAUAUAAUCGUACGAACAUUCUUAGUAAUAGGAUGAUAGAAAUAAAAUUCUCGGACAUAUUUUUAUUUCUAGUAAUUUUUUAUAGUGCGAACUAGACGCACUCUAACUUUUAUAAGUUAGACCACAGCUCCGAUAAAACUAUACUUAUUCAUGCAGUAUCAACUUUUUUUUAGUUUUCAAAAAAGUAUAGUAAUAUUUUCAAUUUGAUAUUAAGAACGACGAAUGCUGCUAAAAAAAAAAAAAAAAGAAGAAAAAAGAGUAUCAUUUAUAUGGUCGAGAUGAUCAUACAUGUGUACGGAGACAUGUUAUAGGAUUAAGCUUAAUGCGAUAGACGCGCGUACAGAAGAAGAGGUUGGGGAUUGAAGUGAACAAAUUGGUCAAACGCUCUUUCCAAAUGCACACGACUCUACCAUGUGAUACAAUUUUAGUUUUUGUUGAUAAUAAAUAUUCUAGUGUAACAGUAUGAAACGUCAUUUAAUUAAGAGCAGUUAAUCAGCAAUUAUUUAUUUUGGUUUCAAAUCUAUGAUUAAUUAUAAAUUUCUAUAUAUGUAUCUUUAUAAAUUAUAAGAAAUUCUAAUUAAAAGCCUAUGAGCCAAAAGCUCCUAAUCAUUCCUAUUAACUAUUUAAAAUUAGGAUUAAUUAUAUACAUGUCCCUGCAAAUAUAAUGAAUUGUAAAUAUAUAUAUAUAUAUAUAUUCCUAUAAAGUUCAACUUUCAUAUUUUAUCCCUACCCUAAUAUUUUUAAAUAUAUUCAUGCUAUUAGGACUCGUUAGAAAAAAUUAGUUAAUCAUAGAUAAAAUACUUAACCCUAAUUAGUUAAUGAGAUGAAUUGAUCUUUUUACCCUUCUUCAAUUAACUGUUGAAACUUUUAAAGGGACAUAUUUGUGAUAGCAAAAAGGUCAUUUCACUUAUAAAAUAAACAGUGUUUUAACGAUAAUAAACUAGAUGGACAUAUUUGAAAACAUUAGGACUUUUGCAAAAGUUGAACUUUAUAGAAAUAUAUUUGUAAUUCAGUGGUUCGUUUUUUUUUCACCAUGGAAUCGGAAUCGGAAUGGGUGAAUCCGUUUGUAGGUGUUUGGUACGCGGGAGUCCCAUUCCGAUUCCGAUUCCCGAGUGGGAUAGGAAUCCCCCAAUCACCUCUUUUUUCAAUCCGGACUAGGAGGUCAGAUUGGAAGUUGAAUCCAGACGGAAUGGUUAUUUAUUUGGAUUAAAUUUAUUUUUUCAACUUUUUUAAAUUAAAAUAUGAGUUAAAAUUAAAAAUUAAAAUAUAUAAUUUUAAAUUUUAAUUUGAACUUAAAUUAAAAAUUAAAAUUUAAUCAAUUUUAAUUUAUAAUUUUUAAAUGUAGUUUUAAAACUUUAUUACAGUUUUAAAAUUUAGAUAAAAAAUUUUUUUAUUAAUUUGAAACUUCAACUCACUUAUUAAGUUUUAUACUUUGAUUUAAAACUAAAUAAGUUUAAGUUUGAAUUUUAAUGUUAAAUUUAAAAAUAAACUUAGAUAUUUAAAUUAAAUUCAAACUUUAUUUUAAACUUAUUUUGAAAUAUAUUUAAUUUUAAAUUAAAUUUAAGUUUAAGUAUUCAAUCUAAGCUUUAUGNUUGAAUAAAUCAAAAUUUAGUUUCAUAUUUUGAAUUAUUCACUCAACUUCAAAGUUUAAUUAUUUUUUUAAAAAAUAGAUUUAAAAUUUUGACAUUAUUUCAAAAUUUUGAUGUAAAUUUUUAAUAUUUAAUUUUUAAUUUGAAUUUAAAUUAAUAUAUUAUAAAGAUAAUGUUAGUAUAUUAAUUUGAUUACGUUUUUUAUAUCCACCUGAACCAAACACCGACAAUGAGAAUGAUUUAUUCCGAUUCCGAUUCAGGUGAUGAAUCAAACAGAAUUAGAUAAUGAGUCAUUCCGAUUCCGAUUCCAGCUUAUUUUGAUUCCGAUUCCGAUUCCGACUUCGACUUAGAACCAAACAUGCCCUAUAUGUUUUCAGGGACGCCGUAUGAAAUUAACUCUUAAAAAUUAAGAUCCAUUUAAAAGGCAAGUAUCAGUUAAUUACUUGUAAGGGUUUUCAAAAAUGUAAACCUGUUUAAGAGGAAAGUAGAUUUUCCUCCAACAUUCUCAAACUAUUUAUUUAGUCUAAAGUGCUCUAAAUAAAAAGUUAAAAAAUUAAAAUUAAUAAAAAGCCACCUAACAUUAACAAAUGAUUAAAGAAACUCCCUGAUCAAAAUAUUAAAUUAUGUAAAAAUUUAUUUAUCAAAAAAAAUUAAAUAAUAACAAAUUUGGGCCAAAGCUCAUUUUAAUUUCAAUUUCAAUUAUCUUCUUGUAUUAAAAACUGCAUCAAUUAUCUUUGUAUAUUUUGCCAUUAGCAAAAAUAGAUUCAGCUAUUUGGGGUGGUUGUUAAAUUCUGUUAUAAAACUUUAUAGUAAAGUUUUACAAUAUAAUUUGCUAAAUUUUGAAAAAUUUAAAUUUAUUUGACAUGAUGACAAAGCGAAUAAUGCUGAAAUUUUAUUAGAAACUAAGAUCGUACCUUCUGCCAUGAUUUUAAUUUUUGUACUUGAUUUGUAGGCGGCGAUUUUUACUCGUGGUUCGUCCUCGUUUGCGAUUUACAAAAUAGCGGGACGUUUCGAAUUUAAUUUUCUUAUUCUCGAAAAUUGAGUCGUCACAAGAAAUUAGAUUAAGCUUAGACCGGGACUCCCGUAUGUUAUAUUUAUAUACAACUUAAUGUAAGGAUGUUAAAUCAUGUCCAUCCAUCAAGGACGUGUCCAGAUACACCCUAACCGUUCGAUCUACCGUAUCUUUAUAGAUCAACUUGAAUAAAUCGACUGUAUCUUUAUAGAUCAUCUGAAUAAAUCACAUGAACCACAUCCAAUAAAUAAUACUUAGGAAUUUUUGAUGCAAACGAUAAUGAAACAUAAAACUAAAAUGCAACUCUCGAAAGAGCCACUCAUUCAAAAUCCCACUAUUUUUCCAUUUAGGGCUUGUUUGGUUCAAGGGUGGAAUUGGAAUGGAUAAUGGAAUGAGAAUGAAUUGGAAUGGUAAUUGGAAUGGUCCACUCCUCCAAGACGUUUGGUUUAUUUGUAGAUUGGGAAUUGGAAUGAGCUAUUCACAUUUCAUUGUUUGGUUCGUUUAAACUAAAAAAAUUAUAGGAUACUAUAAUACUAAUUUUACUCUAAAUAUAAAUUUAUAUUAUUUAAAAUUUAUGAAAAAUACUAUUCUCUAAUAAGUUUUUCAAAAAAAAUAUCAAAUUUAUUUUUAAAAACUUUUAUUCGUGUGGGUUAGGGAUAGGGUUUUGAGAGAGGAUAUGUUUUUUUUUUGUGAUGAGAAAGGGGUGAAGAGAAGGAGGGUGAGAUGGUCACAUGGGCUUCGAGGACUUAGUGGGCUUCCAGAAUGAAAUAUCAAUCCGGGCUAGAAGACCGGAAUCAAGUUGAAGGCUAAUGGGCCAUUCUCAUUCCAGUCUGGAAUAGGAAUCUCAAACCGAUUCAUGCGAACCAAACAAAAUUAACCGGAUUUAAUCAAACCGAUUCCCAUUCCAUACCCAAAAUGAAUGAACCAAACAAGUCCUUAGUCUCAUGGACGGUUUUUUAAUA